GGUGGUGGACAUGGUGUUUCACUUGGAGGGCUUGGGGGUGUCACAGUGGGUGGAGUUGGUUGAACUGGUGGCAAAGGAACCACAGGAGGAGGGUUCACAAUGGGUGGUUUUGGCACAUAAGGUGGUGUAACGGGAACAACUGGUGGUUUAGGAACGUAAGGAGGUGUAACGGGGACAACCGGAGGUUUUGGGAUGUAAGGAGGAAUAACUGGUACAACCGGUGGUUUAGGGAUGUAGGGUGGUGUGACAACCGGUGGUUUAGGGAUGUAAGGUGGUGUGACAACCGGUGGUUUGGGGACAUAUGGGGGUGGUUUGACAACUGGGGGUAGUGGAACAUAAGGGGGAUGUGGGUGAACUGGCGGUCUAGGGUGAGGUUUUGGGACAUAGGGUGGGUGUGGAUGCACUGGUGGCUUAGGGUAGUGAGGGGGUUUUGGGACAUAGGGUGGGUGUGGAUGUACUGGUGGCUUAGGGUAGUGAGGGGGUUUUGGAACAUAGGGUGGAUUCACAUGUGGAGGUUUGGGAGAUGAGUGGGGUGGUGGACAUGGUUUGGGUGGUUUCACUAUGGGAGUGUGUUUUGGGGGCUUAGGAGAAGGAUAAGGGCAAUAAGGACAAGCAAGAACAUUGAGGAAGGUUGUGAGGUUAAGGAGAAGGAACAAUAGGACAUUAGCUAGGGCAAACUUUCCCAUGAUUCAAAGACGGUGUAGGGAAAGAGAAAGAUAAAUAUUGCAAUGAGUUUGUAAGAAUGAGGUUGUUCUUUUAUAUACGAGGAUCCAACCAUCAAACCCUAGUUUUCUUUUUCUUUUUCCUUUUCUCUUUCUCGUGAGUGUUGCUUCUGAUCACGGACAUGAGUUAUGGCAAUCAAUCAAUCUAGGUCUAAAUCACAUUCUUAGAAUUGGAAUUAAUUAUUCAUUUUUUGGGAUGAAUCAUUGACUUGAAGGACCGAAAAAUGCAUGCGAUGUAGGUGGGGCCCAGGUUGUGGCAGAACACAGAUAGAAGAAAAGAGAAACGAAAAGUGGGCCAUGGUGUUAUGGACAAAACUGCUAUUUGAAUUAGUCGAUGAAGAGGGGAAUCAAGAAAAAGCUGUGGUGAGCAAGAGGACAUUUUUGACUUGUAGUGACAAGUGGAAGUGGGGUUAUUCUGCCCGUGAUAGAAAAAAUGUUCAUACACAUCAAAGCCUUAUUAUGUAAACGUACUUUAUAAUUAGUCGUUUAACCCCUGACACUCUUGUCGCGUAAAACACCAUCUUUCUUUCAUUCGCUCCAAUAACCUCAAUAUGCAUUUAUAAUUUAUAUUAUUUUAUGUAAAUUAAAGUUAUUUCAAUAACUUUUUCAUAUUCGAACUCUGUUUGUAACAAUAAAACUACAAAUUGAGCCUAGGAUGGUAUACCUUCACUCAUUGAUCGGGAAUUUAACUAUGAUGUAAUUUUCAUAAUAGGUCAAUUAUAUAUAAAAAAUUAGAUUGAAAUAAUUUCCUGAAAAAGUAAUUAGAAUGAAUAAUAUAAAGAUCUAAAAAAAUUAGAAAUGAUAAUAAUUUAAAAAUAAUAAAACUUCAUUAUUUAAUAUUAAAUGAUUUAUAAAUAAUUUUGUUAUAAACGAAUUUUAUUAUUUUAAAAUACAUUAUCUCUUUAGAAAUUAUUUUUUUAGAGUUUUCUUCUCCUAUGCUCAUCUGUUUGAAUCAAAGGCUACCUAAGUGAUCUUAGUGGUACAACCUUCAAGUUUACUUGAUCAGUUUCUCUAAAUGAGUAAGUUAUUUUCUACUUUUUUUCUUUUGAUCAUGUUUCUGUGAGUUAUAGGUGCAUAUAGAGUUCUUUGAGCUGAUGAAGUCAUUUUAGCUCUUGUAGAGCAGAUUUGUUGAGAUUGUUAUAAGGGAAGCACUGGUUUAGCUGAACAUUAAUCUCAGAGUGCUCUGAUUUUUUAUGAUGACAACACAUUAUUAAUAACACAUGUAUUGUUAUGCGUUACAUGUUUAAUUCUUUAUUGGGAAUGAUAUCUUAAUGAACAUUUGUGUUGCUUCUGAUAUAUGUAUGCAUAUUCACUGAUUUGAUACUUGAUAAAUCUUUUGUGUUUGCAUUACAUAUGUUUAAGAAAAGAAAACUACAUUCACUUUGAUGAACUUAUACUUGAGGUAAAACUAUAAGUUUUAAGUCGAUUUCAUUAUGCAGUAAGUCGAUUAAAAUUUGGGACUUUGCACAAAUUUUAAAAAACAAUGUUGUGUGUGAUUUUGCAUUGAAAAGUAUUUCAAACUGAGUUGAAGUGUCUAAGUCGACUACAUGCACAACGAAUUCUACUUAGUUAUUUGAUUUGAAAUUCUAUUAAUGCUUGUGUGUUGUAACUACUAUAUUUCAACUCUAUGUUAAAGCAUUAAUUGAAAGUCAACUGAAUUAAAUGCGAAAUCAAUUUGGUUGUUAUGACUGCUGCUAAUUGUUUUAACUAUUAUAACUGUCUAAUGACAAUCAACUUCAUUAUUAGCAAAAUCGACUACAGGAGCGUCUGAUUUAUAGACGUGACUCAAUUGAUCACAUACGACUUUGGAUAUUCUAACACUUUCAUUUGAUUUUCAGAUUGUGAUCUCUAAGUAAAGGCUCUAAGAACUCAUCAAGAAGACGGUAGAGAUCUUUCUUGCAAGUGUUUCUUAAGGAGGAAGUGUAUUGCAUGUACUGUUUGAUCAAGAUCUACACAGUUGGUGUCAUCAUACUAAUCAAGUUUUCUAUCAAUCUUUGGAAAGAUUGUUGUUGUCCUGUUGGGAUUACAAGAGGUGGACUCGUGGAGUUCUGACACUUUGAGGAUUGUUCAAAGUGAGUUGAAGAUUGCAGAAGAGGGGAUAUCUUGCUGCAUAUCUUUGUGUUGGCUGCCUAUACUUUUAGUUAGAGGGUUAGAGAGAUUGUCUAUAUUUUUGACGUGGAGGUCUCUAUAGAAAUCUUGCUGUAAAAACCUUGACUAAUAUAUUGCAUUGGCUUCCUGGUUGUGAAAGGACACUAGAUGUAGGCAUUAAGGCCGAACCAGUAUAAAAACUCUGUGUUUGAUUUCUCUUUCCCUACACUUUUACAUUAAGUCGACUUUACAGUUUACGUAGUCAACUUUAUAUUUUCGCUGCAUGUUGGGGCAAAUCGACAAGUGUACCGAGUCGCACAAGUAAUAUAAAAUGGUAAGACGAAGUAUCAUAUCCUAGAGGACUCUCGACGCUGAACAGUUGUGUGAAAGCAUGAUUAAUUAAGACUUAAAAAAUAAAAAGAGAUAAUUGGGUUUGGCACAAAUAAAGCAAAAUAAAAUUGAUCAGUGGCAAAAAAGCACAGAGAUGAACGAAGAUUGAUUAAUAUGAGAUGGGUAUGUUGUUGGGGUUAGAUUUCACCAAGUUCCCUCUCAUGUAUAUAAGAAUUCUUCUUUAUGCAUUAAUGCCAACGUCCCUCACUAAAUCACUUAAACCCGAUCCCUUAGUAAAUAAGUCUGUCCCUAAUUACCAUUUCAUACAAUUCCUAACAUUCGUGGUAAAAAGAUGUGAAGAUCAAGAGGUUAAGACGACUAAGACUCAUACCCUCAUUCUUGAGCAAUAUAAUCCUUAGGAGUAAUUCAACAAGAACCUGAAUUAAAAGGAACCUCUUGACACUCAUGCAAUUCAUAGAUAACGCUAUUGUAUAAGCAAGAAUAAAAACAGAUGAAUUAAUCUAACAAUUAAUGAAAAAGCAUAUGAAAUUAAGAAUCAAUUCAAAUACAUGAGAGUUCACAAGGUUACAUCAUUCCCCAACAACAAAUAGAAAUUAGUUCCNUAUAGACAUGGGGGGAACUUUAUAAACAAUGGAAGAAACAAAGAGAAUGAAAGACUAAGAAUUGUCUAAUAGUGCAUGGCUAUACUCUUCUCUGUCAGGGAUGCAAAGCCUAGAGCCCCAGGGUCCUUUAAAUAGUGUCAAACGUGUCCCAGAGUGCAGCUCGGUCCAAAAGAAUCAAAACAGAGCUGAAACAGGGUCCGAUCCAUGUGAAAUCACGCCCAAGCGUCGCAGGGAGGACGCCCGGGCGAGAAUUGAAGCUCAUGUAAGACCUGGGCGUCAAAUUUGGACGCCCAAGCUACGAAGGUCCACCGCCCGGGUGUCGGGUGCCACCGCUCGGGCGACAAGCGUCGUUCCUGGUUGCUUGGUUUUCGCUCCUGGACGCUCGAGCUUCGCGUUUUCCCUCCUUCUGGAGUCUUUUUAGCCUCUUCUGAGCUCUAUCUUCUUGUUUUUUCACCUCUUCUUCUAGUAUUAUCUCAAUCUUUGCCAAAACAUGGGGAAUUUGUUAGAAAACUAUUGAAAUCAACCUCAACUCUCUUAUUCACACAUUUUAUUGAAAACACAUGAGUCCAAGCAAGUUUCUAAGUGAAAAGGGUGCUUUUAGUAUCAAAAUCACAUAACAAAUAACAGUGUUUUAAACCGUUAUCACAACCCCAAACUUAGAACUUUGCUUGUCCUCAAGCAAACAACUGUAACUCAGCUUUUCAGAACAAUCACAACAAUGACUCAACCUUUUUCAAAAACUUUUUCAAGACAAGGAAUUACUUUUAUCAAUUCAACAUGAAGGUCUCAGUCAAGAUGUGUAGAAUUCAAUCAAAAUUAAUGUGAUGCUCAGGUGCUAUCCUUAAGAAUGAUCAGUCAACCAAGCAAAGAUGCAAUAAAAAAUUCAGAGAACUAUUCCUCACUAGGUUCUUUUCUCACUUUUUCUUUUCUUUUCUUUUUGCCUUUGCUUUACAAUUGCUUUUUCUUUUGAUUGCUCACUGUCUAGAGAAGUGGGUUGUUACAUGGCAACUCCAAACUUGAACCUUUAUCAGUACCUCAUCAAAUGUUCUCAACUUAAUUCAAGGUAAAGAUAUUUCAAAAAGGUUAUUCAAGAUAUGCAUAAGGCUCAAGGUUCAAAGGUUAGAACAAAUUGUUCUCUUUUCAGUGGGCAAAAAUUAUUUGUAGGCUAAAAGAAUAAGGGAUAACAAUGUUGAGAUUGUUGACAACACAAACUCUAUAUCAAACUGGUUUUUGAUGAUGACAACACACUGCUUAAUAACAGUACAUAUGUUCCAGUGUUACANNNNNNNNNNNNNNNNNNNNNNNNNNNNNNNNNNNNNNNNNNNNNNNNNNNNNNNNNNNNNNNNNNNNNNNNNNNNNNNNNNNNNNNNNNNNNNNNNNNNNNNNNNNNNNNNNNNNNNNNNNNNNNNNNNNNNNNNNNNNNNNNNNNNNNNNNNNNNNNNNNNNNNNNNNNNNNNNNNNNNNNNNNNNNNNNNNNNNNNNNNNNNNNNNNNNNNNNNNNNNNNNNNNNNNNNNNNNNNNNNNNNNNNNNNNNNNNNNNNNNNNNNNNNNNAGUGAUUUUUCAUGUGUCAGUCGACAGUGUGAAACACUCAUUCGACUGUAUUGCUGUUAAUUUUGGAAUUCUGUUAUGCCUACUUGCUCCAACGACUAUAUUUUCAAAAGUUAGUUAGGAUUGACUAACUGGGUCAACUGUCAUGAAUGAGCAUUGAUUUGGUUGACUGAGGAGCCUUUAUGUUGACCGUCUGUUAUAACUGUUUUAAUAUAGUUGACUAGAUUAGUAGGCUAUUUGAUUGAGAAUGACAGGAAAACUAUAAGUAGAACAGAACACGAUUUGUUCUGAUACUUUUGUGAUCUAACUUUUUCAUUGUCCUGUUUCAAAGAAAUUUCUCAGUUUAGGAAGCUCCAAGAAUUCUCCAAGAAGACGGUGAUGAUCUUUCUUGAGAGAGAUUCAGAUUGAGGAGUCAAUUGCGCAUACUGUGAUGGGCUUGGCAUCCUGUGAAAAGUGCUGGUGACACGUUGAGGAUUGUUCAGCGUGGGUUCAGAUUGCAGAAGAGGGGAUUCUUGCUGCAAUUCUGGUUUUGUGUGUGUAGCUAUAUUUGGUUUUGGGUUAGAGAAGAGAUUUAUAUUUUUGCGUGGUGCUUCUAUAAAUUCCUUGUUGUAAAAACCGCAACCAUUAUAGUUCAUUUGCUUCCAAGGUUGGAAGGACACCGGAUGUAGGCAUUGUUGGCCAAACCAGUAUAAAAACCAGUGUUUAAUUUUCUCUUCCCUACACUCUUUAUUUCAGUCGACUAUAUCUGUUUAGGAGUCAACUACGUUUUUCCACUACACUGAAAUUUUUCAUUACUUGCAUUUCAAGGAAAGAUCAAAAGCUUUGAAUUUUUAUACCAAGAUUGCGAAAAGAUUUUGUUUUUGAACUAACACCAAUUCACCCCCCCCUUCUUGGUGUAAAACGAAGCCAACAUGUUUCCUAACAAUUGGCACUAGAGCUAGUUUUCAUAAAAUAUUUGAAAAUUCAGCCGACUUUGUUUCUAUUCUAUUCGACUGUAAAACUUGGGGAUGACUUCAAAUUUUCAAACUUUUGGUGAAGGUGCUUCAACAAAUAGACCACCUUUGUUUGCUGGUGAAAACUAUCCUUUUUGGAAAAUUCGCAUGCAGAUCUUUCUUGAAUCGCAAGAUAAGGGAAUUUUGGAUGCCACUUUAAAUGGUCCAUAUGUGCCUACAAAAACUGUUGAUAGUGAAACUCUUUUAAAACCUUUUACUGAGUGGACUGCUGAUGAAAAUAGAAAAGCUCAGUAUCUUGUUAAAGUUAGAAAUAUUAUUGCCUCUGCACUAACAAUUGAUGAAUUUUUCAGGAUAUCCCAAUGCAAGACUGCAAAAGAAAAUGUGGGAUGUUCUAGAGGUAACACAUGAAGGCACGGAUGAAAUCAAGAGAGCCAGGAAGAAUUCAUUGAUACAAGAAUGUGAGUUGUUUAGAAUGAAAGCUGGUGAGAACAUCUAUGAUGUCCAGAAAUGGUUCAAUCAUAUUGUAAACCACCUGAUGGCUCUUGGCAAAGCCUUUGAUAAAGAAGAGAUCAACAUCAAGAUUUUGAAAAGUCUGAACAAGAAUUGGCAACCAAAAGUCACUACAAUCUCUGAAUCCAAAGAUCUUAUAACUAUGAAUAUGGCUACCCUUUUUGGCAAGCUACGUGAACAUGAGUUAGAACUUGGUAGACUGAAGGAUGAAGAGGAGAUUGAAGAAAAGAAGUCCAUUGCUCUGAAGGCCACAAGUAAUAAUAUCACAAAAGCAGUGAUGGACGACAAAGAGCUGAUGACCUUGAUGGUAAGAAAAUUUAGUCGACUUAUGCAAAAUGAUAGUCAACUAUUUAACCAUGCAGGUCAAAGCAAGAAAAGCUUCAGCAUAAACACUUUCCAGUGCUAUGAAUGUGGUAAAGAAGGUCACAUCAAGCCUGACUGUCCCGAUUUACAGCCAAAGCAGAAAAGGAAGAAAAGAUUUCCUCAAGGAAGAAAUAUGAGAAAAAAAGGAGCCUACAUUGCUUGGGAGAAUUCUGAAUCUGAAAGCUCAAGUGAAGAGGAUUCUGACCAAGAGGAAAAAUCCAAUAUAUGUCACAUGGCUGGAACUGUAAAGACUGAGUAUGACAGUGAUGAAGAAUUUGAGAAGCUGCCUAUAGAAGAAAAGUAUCAACAGUUGAUUGAGACAUUCAGGGAAUUACAUGCUGAAGCAAUGCGACUGGAGUAUAAGGUUAAUCGACUGAACUCUGAGAAAAGAGAUUAUGAAUAUAGGAUUAAUAACCUUGUUACUGAAAAUGAAAGAUUAGAAAAGAAUUGGAUAUAGCCUUGUCAUCUGCUAGGAAUGUUGAAAUUAAAACUGUUACUGUUGAGGAAGCUUUGUAAAAUUGUCUUAUGCAUGUUGAAAAGAUUGAUUACUUGACUAGCAAGCUAGCUAAGUUUGCUCAAGCUAAUGACAAUUUAGAUGCUGUAUGGAAUUUCUCUAGUAGAAUUAAUAACAGGCAAGAAAUUGGAUUUAAAGGUUACUCUAACAGAACUAAUGCUAGAAAGCUUAAUGUUUUGAGAAAACUUGCUAGAAAUGCAUGUUUUUAUUGCAGAUGAGUUGGUCACACUGUUAGAAAUUGUUAUUAUAGACAUGUUGCUGUUCCUCAAGGAUUAUGUGUUUGGAUACCAAAGGAACAUGUGACAAGAACUGACAAUCAAGGACCCAAAGUUAAAUGGGUACCAGCAACCAAAACUUAACUAUUUUACAAGUUAUGCAGCUGAUACAGAACUGCUUUCAAGGAUGAAUUAACCGUGGAUUUUAUCAAACACCUUGAAUGUCUACAACUGGUAAUUUUGUAUCUAUCUGCUGCAUCAUGCAUACAUUGAUUGAAUGUUGUUGUAUGAUUGUUUGCAUCGUGUGAUUAAUUGUUUGAUUGAUUGAAUUUGUUUGAAAUGUUUAUAUGAGUCCCAGUUGACUCCCAUAUUAAUUCAAUCGACUUUGUUAUUUGUACAUUUGAAAAACACUAUUUAGUUUGAAAUUUAAAAAUUCCAUUUUGGUGAGAAAGAAAAAAUUUGGGGUUCCCUCCAAUUUGAUAUUCAAUAAAGAUAUGUUAAAAUCUUGGCAAUCAUAAAUCACUGCAUUCAACCUCAUUGAUCUUGUACUCUACUAUCCUCAUUUCAUCUGAAAGGGUCAUCAUUCAUCCUCAAACCUCAAUGUCUUUCGGAUCCACACCCAGGAGAAGGGUUAAGUCCAUGGCCGCUAGAUGCUCCAGAAGAGUGUAUGAUUUGAAUGGGUGGAUAAGCGAUGAUGAUGAUCAAUCAAAGUUUCUUGAUUGCUUGAAGAGGAGAACUCUUGUGAUACACAAAUUUCUUAAGCUAAAGUUAUUUAAGAAUGAAGAAUUUCGGUUUCAGAAGUGGAUUAAGAAUAAGGGGUUGAAGCAUUUUGUUGAAAUGGCAAGUCCGUGGUACCCAGACUUGGUAAAAGUCUUCUACUGCAAUCUAAAGAUUGUUGAUGACAUUCUCUGCUCUCGCGUUAAAGGAAUUGACAUCAAACUAACUGAUGAUGUCUGGAACAAGGUUAAUGGAUUGAGAAUCAGUGGUAAUAAAUGUCAUCUUGGAAUAAAUGGUUUUAACAAGCUUGAUGAAUAUCAACUGUGCCUGAGAAAUGCAGAUGAUCUUCAGGUAAACUCUAACUAUAAAACUGGUGGCAUGAAGAAAGACGAGAGAAUGACUAUCUAUACCAUUGCCUACAUUCUCAUGGCAAGGGGAGGAAAUUAUGCCCAAGCAACCGCUGAAGAUUUGAUGCUAUUGAAAGCUUUAAAGGAAAAUAUUCAGGUGGACUGGCCCGCGGCAAUUUCUGAUAAUAUGCUAAAAGUUACUAAAUCCAAAUUAGGGAAGCUACCAUACUGCAUCUUCAUUUCGAAAAUACUGAUUUACUGCGGAGUGGAAUGCAUUGGUGAAUCCAGUGAGCAAUAUCAUAACUCAAGCCUUGUGGACAAAACUGUUCUUCAUCUGAUGCACAUGGAGAAAACAUUCGAAGGCUGGAAAUACAAAGAUGAAAUCUGUAAUGGUGCACCAUCAACCUCUUAAGGAAAUAAAUACAGAGGAAAGAAUGAAUUUGAAAGGAUUGUUCUGAAGGAAUUGGCUGAGAUCAAGAGAUGGAUUAGUGAACAGAAAAACAACAGCCAAGAACAUGAGAACUCUGAAAAUAUUGGCUCCUCUGAAAGGUCAUCUCAAAGAAGUAAUGAUGACAGUGAAGAGACAAGAUCUGAGGAAAAUGCUAGUGAUAUGGUUCUUAAGACCUUCAUUAACUAGAAGAGAAAGAAAAACUAAAAGUCUUGUCCUAGUCUAAGUUUCAUUUUGUAAAAUGGCAUAAAAAGCCAUCUUUUGUUGCUUUUUAAUGUUUUGCUUGUGUUUCCUUGACCUGUUCUAUCAAUGUAAUAUCUUUCUAUCAAGGAAAUAAUACUAGAAGUUUGAAUCAAUCCUGUUACUUAACAAUUCACUUAAACUGUCAAAUAAAAUCUGAUACUCUAUUUGAUUGAUUCGACUGUGCUAUGACUGAAGUCAACUGUGCUAUAACUGUCAUGCAUUUUUAUAAAUUGACUUCUAUUAUGAUUUGAUUCUAUUCUUGCAUAACCAUUAUACUUGAUCUAGAAGAGGUUUUCUAAAAGGUUUUUGUAGGAAGAACAUUGCUUUGAACAUAUACAAUUGGGAUUCAACAUUUGGAAAAGCAAUGCAUUCGAUUAAUGAGUUAAAGCAUUCGACUGCGUCUAAACUAGGUUAAAAAUUCCAAUUUUGGAAUUUUCUUUUAUCCUUACUGACUACUUUAAUCAUUAGUAUACUAAUAUUAUCUCUGUUCUUUACAUGAUUUUAUAUCAAAAUUGAGAAAAUAUUGUGAGAUUGUUGAUAUUUGCGUCAUUGCUUAUAUAUGUGAUUGAAUUGUGUAUCAAUGAUACAAAUCUGUGCUUAAACUGGUGAUAGACUAGCGAUAUUCUGCAUUGUGCAACAAACUGUUUUUGAAAUUCAUGCAUAAUGACAGGGGGAGUAUCACUUCUUUACACAUUGUUUCAUCACACACCUACAUUUCCGAGGGGAGUUUACAUAUGCCAUUGUGAUGAACUUGUGAUUUAGGGAGCAUCAUUAUCUUUUUGAUACUGCAUAUUUGUUUGAUGCUUCUCUGCUUUUAAAACUGCAUAAAUAUCAAGCAUUCCUUUUUCGUUAAUGCACAAAGGGGGAGAGUUUUAAUGAGUGUAUGAGAGCAAGUCUAUAUGGGGAGAAUUGCUAUAUCAUACUUUAUUUGCUUGAUGAUAUUUUUGCUGUAUAUGGAAAAUAAAUGAAUUGUUUGUAUUAAUUUUGCUAUCUGUUUUACUCUAUCAUAUGCAGCACUGUGCAAACAUGGUUGAGUUAUUAAUCAUGGUUGUGCAUCAUCAAAAAACGGGGAGAUUGUUGAGAUUGUUGACAACACAAACUCUAUAUCAAACUGGUUUUUGAUNNNNNNNNNNNNNNNNNNNNNNNNNNNNNNNNNNNNNNNNNNNNNNNNNNNNNNNNNNNNNNNNNNNNNNNNNNNNNNNNNNNNNNNNNNNNNNNNNNNNNNNNNNNNNNNNNNNNNNNNNNNNNNNNNNNNNNNNNNNNNNNNNNNNNNNNNNNNNNNNNNNNNNNNNNNNNNNNNNNNNNNNNNNNNNNNNNNNNNNNNNNNNNNNNNNNNNNNNNNNNNNNNNNNNNNNNNNNNNNNNNNNNNNNNNNNNNNNNNNNNNNNNNNNNNNNNNNNNNNNNNNNNNNNNNNNNNNNNNNNNNNNNNNNNNNNNNNNNNNNNNNNNNNNNNNNNNNNNNNNNNNNNNNNNNNNNNNNNNNNNNNNNNNNNNNNNNNNNNNNNNNNNNNNNNNNNNNNNNNNNNNNNNNNNNNNNNNNNNNNNNNNNNNNNNNNNNNNNNNNNNNNNNNNNNNNNNNNNNNNAGUGAUUUUUCAUGUGUCAGUCGACAGUGUGAAACACUCAUUCGACUGUAUUGCUGUUAAUUUUGGAAUUCUGUUAUGCCUACUUGCUCCAACGAUUAUAUUUUCAAAAGUUAGUUAGGAUUGACUAACUGGGUCAACUGUCAUGAAUAAGCAUUGAUUUGGUUGACUGAGGAGCCUUUAUGUUGACUGUAUGUUAUAACUAUUUUAAUACAGUCGACUGGAUUAGUAGGCUAUUCGACUGAGAAUUACAGGAAAACUAUAAAUAGAACAGAACACGAUUUGUUCUGAGACUUUUGUGAUCUAACUUUUUCAUUGUCCUGUUUCAGAGAAAAUUCUCAGUUUAGGAAGCUCCAAGAAUUCUCCAAGAAGACGGUGGUGAUGUUUCUUGAGAGAGAUUAAGAUUGAGGAGUCAAUUGUGCAUACUAUUUGAUCAACAUCUGCACAAAGAAGGUGCUUUAUGUUUGAUCUUGAUGGCUUGGCAUCCUGUGAAAACUGCUGUAUUUGACUGAAGGCUUGGCAACCUGUGAAGUGUGUUGUGAUAGGCUUGGCAACCUGUGAAGCGUGUUGUGGCUUAGCAUCUUGUGAAGAGUGCUGGUGACACGUUGAGGAUUGUUCAGCGUGGGUUCAGAUUGCAGAAGAGGGGAUUCUUGCUGCAAUUCUAGUUUUGUGUGUGCAACUAUAUUUGGUUUUGGGUUAGAGAGGAGAUUUAUAUUUUUGCGUGGUGCUUCUAUAAAUUCCUUGUUGUAAAAACCACAACUAUUAUAGUGCAUUUGCUUCCAAGGAAGGAAGGACAUUGGAUGUAGGCAUUGUUGGCCGAACCAGUAUAAAAACCAGUGUUUGAUUUUCUCUUCCCUGCACUCUUUAUUUCAGUCGACUACUGUUUAGCGGUCAACUACGUUUUUUCCCUGCACUGAAAUUUUUCAUUACUUGCAUUUCAAGGAAAGAUCAAAAGCUUUGAAUUUUCAUACCAAGAUUGCGAAAAGAUUUUGUUUUUGAACUAACACCAAUUCCCCCCCCCCUCUUGGUGUAAAACGAAGCCAACCUGUUUCCUAACAAACAAAAGAUGGCCUUGAUCAUACGAAACCUGUAAGCAAGUAGUUUAAUCGUAGAAAAUUUGGGCAAAAUCAUUCAUGCUUCCAAAGUAACAACAAUUAUUUAAAAACAACUCUGAAGCUCAAAACUCACAUAGGUAAACUCAUAAAUUCUCAAAUUUAGAAAAACAUCCUGCUCAUUAUUUUAAUUAGACUUUAUUUUAAGCACCUGUCUCACAAAUUGGGAUUUAUCAUCAUGCAUCAUCUCAACCUCAAUCAAGUACUAGAAUCUCAUAAAGCAAAACUUAUCACAUAAAAUAGAGCAUGGUUGAAUCAAAGCUGUUCAGUUCAUUCAAGUAGAGCACAAUAAAAAUAGAAUGAAAUAAAAACACACAUUAAAGCAAAAAACAAAAAUUAGAAGUAAAAGUUCAGAGCACUGGGUUGCCUCCCAACAAGCACUUCUUUAUCGUCACUAGCUUGACCCAAUAAGCGCAUGUCACAUAUUUUAUUUUGGUGUCAUCUUUUCCUUCAACACACCAAUUGGUCUUCAGCAUUUUCCUGUUCACCUUCUUGGUUCUCGUAGAAGUAGGAGAUUCAAUCUCUAUCAACCCAUCAACUCUGAGUUUUUUUUAUUGAACUGUACAGGCAAGCCUGGUCUCAGUCUUCAUGGUCCGUUGGAGGCUUUUGGUGAACAUCUCCUUUGCUAUCUUUCUUCGCUUCAUUCACCUGUGACAGGAAACACUUUUUACCUUUCUUUUUUGAUUUGGUGGCUCUGGUACCAAUCCUGGGAUGCAUCUUUAAAUGCGGCUUUGGGACUAGUUUUCUUUACUUGAGUUUGCCGCCUAGUAUUGCAGGCAUUGAAGAUCACCUCCUCUUCUUGGUCCUUGAGAGCUAUAGUACCCUCAUCAAUAUUGAUGAUUACUUUGAUUGUCUUCAUGAACAGUCUUCUAAGAAUAAUAGGGAUAUCUGCAUUUUCCUCCAUCUCUAAUGCCACAAAGUCCACCAGAAACCUCAAGUUGGCGAUUUGCACCAUGACAUCUUCUACCACACCAUAGGGUCUUUUAGGGGAUCCAUCUGCCAUGAGGAGAGACAUCCUUGCCGGCUUAACUUUUAAGUCACCAAUCUUUUUGAGAACAGUUAAGUGCAUCAAAUUGAUACUGGACCCCAAAUCAAUUAAGACUUUCCCUAUUUUGUGGUUUCCAAUGUUGCAGGAAAUAGUAAAACUUCCUAGGUCUUCUACCUUUUGAGGAAGUGCCUUAUGCAAGAUCACACUGCAAUUCCCUUAUAUUUUAGUUGUCUCUACUUUUAAAUUUUUCUUUUUCUUGAGGAGCUUCUCUAAAAAUUCUUUAUAUUCAGGGAUCUGUUGUAGAGUCACUUUCACAGGAAUUUCUAUCCCCCAUUCUUUGGAGAUUUCUUCAAAACACCCUGCCUCCAUCUCUCUGGUGGCAUGUUCCUUAGGGUGGCAGACAUUUUUCUCACUUUUUUUAUUUUUUUCUUUUUCUUCUUUUUUUCUCUCAACCUCUUCUUUUUUAAUCUCACUUUUUUCUUCACUCUCAAUUUUUUUCUCUUUCUCAAUUUUUUUUGUCUCUUCUCUUUUUCCUCACUUUCUUUUUCUUCUCCCUCUUUUUCUCUCUCAUUUUCCAUGCUUGCUAUAGCCUUACAUUCCUCUUUGGGGGUUAACUUCAGUAUUAGCCCCAAAAUCUUUGAAAGGCAUCUCUUUAAGUUGUUGGGCUAUUUGGCCAACCUGUAUCUCCAAGUUUUUGAUGGCAACAUCUGUGCUCUUUUGUGUGGACAAUGUUGCCUGCAUGAAUUGUUGGAGGGUUUCUUCAAGCUUUCUGGUUCUAUCAGGCAAAAAGGGUUGUUGUUGCCAUUGUUGUUGCUGUUGUGGUGGUCUAUUGAAUUUCCCACCAAUUUGCUCAAGUGGACCCUGUCCAUUGCUUAGGUGAGAUCUCCACCCUUGAUUGUAAUUAUUGGGACAGAACUGGUUCUGGUUGCCCAUGUAGUUAACUUCUUCCUUAAGAUUCUCAGACACUGCAAAUUGACCAUUAAUAUGGUCACCACCACAUAACUCAGAAAGCUGUUGUUGAAUAUGUGCUACGUUCUUAUGUUCCUUUUGUGGUUGCAUCACCUUCUUAGUCAGGAUCUCCAAUUGUUGAGUGAUGAUCUUAUUUUGGGCGAGCAAGGCAUCAGAAGGCUGUAAUGGAAAAACUCCUUUAGGUUGAGCAGGAGCUCCUCUCUCACUGUGCAUCUCAUUGUCAUUGGCAGCCAUGUUCGCAAUUAAUUCAUAGGCCUCAUCAGGGGUCUUGCAUUUGAUAUUGCCUCCAGCUGAGGCAUCCAACAUCAAAUUAGUUUGUGAUUCAAGGCCUCCAAGGAAAAGAAUGACUACCGUUCCUUCAUCAAUACCAUGGGUAAGCGUCUUUCUUAGUAAGCUUUUGUAUCUAUCCCAUGCCUGUCCCAAGGUUUCCUUCAUGCCUUGUCUGAAAGAAGAGAUCUCCUACUUCCCUUUGUUAGUCUUUGAUUGUGGGAAGUAUUUGUUGAGGAACUUUGUAACCACAUCUUCCCACUGAGUGAAACUGUUUUCAAGAAAAGAGUUCAACCAUAAUUUAGCAUUACCUCCAAGAGAAAAGGGGAAUAGGCUCAGUUUUAUAGCCUCAUUUGGUACCCCAUUUAUCUUUAUAGUGUUGCAGAUCUCAUUGAAGGUGGUCAAGUGCUCAUAUGGACUUUCAUGGGACAGUCCAUUGAAUUGGUUGCUCUUCACAAGGUGGAUCAAGGUAGGCUUCACCUACAUAUUUGUAGCAUUGACCCUUGGCUUUGUAGUGCUGUUAAAAUGAUGAGGGCCAACAAUUGUGGUAUAAUAUGCCAAGGUGCGCUUGCUAGCAUUGGUCUCCGCACCUCCUUCACCAGUUUGGGAAGCCAUUGAAUUUUUCUCUAGAGAAGGUUCUCUAGAUAAUCUAUUUCUCUUGGCCUCCUACUGGUCUCAAGCCCUUCAAGAAGAGGCUCAGGAUUUUUAUUGCUUCUAGUUCUCACACAAUCCUGCAUAAACAAAACACAAAACCACAGAAAAUAUUGUUAGCACAAAAAUAAAAAUAGAAAUGAGGGAUUGAAAAAUAAAAAUCAAAAAUAAAAAUGGAAAAAUAAAAAUGAGAAAAUAAAAUAAAGUCAAAAUUAAUCAAGGAUCACACAAAUAGAAUAGCUUAAACUGUGAGUCCCCGGCAACGGCGCCAAAAACUUUUUGGGGCAAAUUGACAAGUGUAUCGAGUUGCACAAGUAAUAUAAAAUGGUAAGACCAAGUAUCGUAUCCCAGAGGACUCUCGAUGAUGAGCAAUUGUGUGAAAACAAGAUUAAUUAAGAUUUAAAAAAUAAAAAGAGAUAAUUGGGUUUGGCACAAAUAAAGCAAAAUAAAAUUGAUCAGUGGAAAAAGAGCACAUAGAUGAACGAAGAUUGAUUAAUUUGAGAUGGGUAUGUCGUUGGGGUUAGAUUUCACUAAGUCCCCUCUCAUGUAAAUUCUUCUUUAUGCAUUAAUGCCAACGUCCCUCACUAAAUCACUUAAACCCGAUCCCUCGGUAAAUAAGCCUAUCCCUAAUUACCAGUUCAUACAAUUCCUAGCAUUCCUGGUAAAAGGAUGUGAAGAUCAAGAGGUUAAGACGAUUAAGACUUAUACCCUCAUUAUUGAUCAAUAUAACCCUUAAAAGUAAUUCAACAAGAACCUAAAUUGAAAUGAACCUCCCGACACUCAUGCAAUUCAUAGAUAAUGCUAUUGUAUAAGUAAGAAUAAAAACAGAUGAAUUACUCUAACAAUUAAUGAAAAAGCAUAUGAAAUUAAGAAUCAAUUCAAAUACAUGAGAGUUCACAAGGUUACAUCAUUCCCCAACAACAAAUAGAAAUUAGUUCCCCACAGGCAUAGGGGAACUCUAUGAACAAUGUAAGAAAGAAAGAGAACGGAAGACUAAGAAUUGGCUAACAACCAUUUAACAACCAUUUUUGGAUAUGUCAAAAAUUUAACAACCACAUAACAAAACAAGUAUCUACUUAGAAACUACAGCUUACUCCCUGAUAACGGUUGAUUUUACCAUUCUCUGUAACUUAAUUUUGAUACUAAAUGAAGCCUUUUUGACUUAGAAACUUGCUUAAAUCCCUUGUUUUUGGUUAAGUUAUGAAUAAAGAUAGUUGAGGUUAUACUUUAUGAUUUUAUCACUAAUUCCCUUGAUUUUGUAGGAAAUUUGGAUGAUUUGGAAGACGAGUUGAAGUAUCAAGGAGUUGGAACUCAGAUAGGACUGAAAAAGCAUCAGAAAGGAAGAUCGUAGGACGCCUGAGCGCCAUCAACGCCAAAGGCUCGCAUUGACGCCUGACUGCCCCUUUCUAAAGGCACUCAACGCUAAAGACUCGCAGUCACGCCUGGGUGCCCUUUCUUGGGCGUUGAGUAUGAACUCCAGUGUGCUGCAUCACGCAUGGGUGCCCUUCUAGGGGCGUUGGGUGCCAGUUUCUCGCAAUAUUGGAUGCAGUAGCAAUCCUUUUCGGUUUUUUGGGUUUAUCUUUCAUUCUUUUUCCAUUGUACAUCUAGUUUCACCAUAGCAAUAGGGAACUAAUUUCUAUUUGUUGUUGGGGGAUGAUGUAACCUUGUGAACUCUCAUGUAUUUGAAUUGAUUUUAAUUGGUAUAUGCUUCUUUCAUUAUUUUUUAGGUUUUUUCCUCUAUACUCUAUGCAUUGUUGUGUUUAACUCAUUCACAACAUAAUUAUUAGUUUCUAUGAUAUGGACACAAACGAAGAAAUCUAGAUCUAGGAAAUUUCUCCCAAGGUAACUAUUGCCUAGACAUAGGGAUAAAAUGCUUGGUUAUCUUAAUCUUCUACUCGUAAUGCACAAUUAAUUAUUAGGGAGACAAGACAUUGUGAUAUAGUAAUUAAGGAUAGGCUUUCUUUGCCGAGACAUCGAGUUUUAAGUAAUUUAGAAAGUGGUAUUAACAUUAAUGAAGAAGAUGAAUUCUUAUAUGCAUGAGAGUAAACUAGGUGAAAUCUAAACCCCCAAAAAUAAUUAUACCAUGUCAAUAUUAAAUUAUACCAUGCAAAAAAAAAUGCCCUGUAAAUAAAUAUUUUACCCUAAACAUAGGACUGAAUACAAUCCUCUUUAUUACUCCAGACAACCUUUUCUCAAAGUACAUGAAAAUUGUUGCUGCAAAAAUUAACGCCUACAAAACAAUAAACAAAUUUAACAUCAACAUAUUCAACUUUGUAACUUGAAUAACAACAACAUUAAUUAAAGUCAAGUAAGUGUAUAAUUACCAGGUUGUCUACACAUUGCCUUGGCCCUAAAGAGAUACAUUCAUUAGUGGUCAACAAUUGACCCAUUAUUAUAGAGACAUAGCUGAAAAAUCAUCAAUUUUACAAUCACGUACCAAUAUCCUUGUUCAAUUAUAAAAAUAAACAUUAUUAUGUUACCUCCGUGGAAUGUCUCUUCGCGUCACUGAGUUGUACAACUUAUCUAAAUCCACCGUUGAUGAAGGACCACCAACAUAAGUACACAAAGGCGGUACAAACAAGGGCUCAACAUGAACAUCUCCUUCACCAUCAUCAACAACGUUAAUGACAAUUGAUGGAUGGUCAUGGGCUACACCUUCUUCUUCUUGAACCGCUUCACUUGCAGGUUCUUCAUGUGCUUCACCUACAGGUUAUUCAUAGCCUUCAUGUGCACCUUCUUCAUUCCCCUGACCCUCAACAUCACCACCAGCUUCAUGACCUGGAGGAUAUUGUUCUACCUUUUGAGAGUUUCGACGAUGACGAAGUUCCUUCCUAAUAGUCGCAAUAUUAUCUCUUAGAUUUCUUAUCUUCAAGUUGUUUGUUCUAAUUUUUUUCCUCGGCAGCUAAUUGCCAAGUUUCGUCAUCUUCUUUUUCAGGUCGUUCUUCUUCACGCCUGCAACCUUGAGGCCUUUCUACCUCAUCCUUAUUGAAAGCACCACGGCUGAGGGGCAUUCAACCAUCAUUAUCACUAAGGUACCAAUAAAAAUGUACCUAUAACAAUGAAAAAUAAAACCUCAAUCAAAUAACAACAAUAAAAAUCAUAAAAAUAAUAAUAUAAGAUGUUAACAAACAAACUUACAAACCACGGUGAAACCACGAAAUAGGGAGAAAUGGGUUAACACAAGCGAUGCGUGAGACAGAGAGCGACGAAAUGGUGCGAAAAGACGAAACUUUGCGAGAAAUAAGGGCAAUGAAACCACGCUCAACCUUGGGAGAAAUAACACCAAGGAAACCACAGUGAAGCCACAAAAUAGGGGGAAAUUGGUUUUCACAAACAAGUCGCGAGACAGAGAGCGACACAAUGAUCCACAACGACUGUGCGCAAAUACGAAACCUUGCGAUGUGAAACCACGAUCAAACGAAGAAAAAGAAGCAAUGUGCGAGACAAAGAGACAGGGAAAUGCACUGAACAUAGUGACCAAAUGAAACAACAAUCGAGCAAGUAAGUCGAAAGAUGAAAGCACUUCAAUGAUGGAGAGAGAGUUCACAAAAGUCCAAUAGAGUAAUGAACAAGACAAAAGGGUUUGUGAAUAUUCUUUCACUGAUGAAAGCGCCAAAAGAGAUUAUGAAAAUUCUUUCCAAAAAAGCCCUCGAAGACAAACUCCACCUUUUGGAAAAAAAAAAAUUCAUUAAAACAACCAAUGACAAUGGUGGGCUUCAUUAAAUUGUUGUCAAAAAUUGGUUGUUAAAGAAGCGUUUCCCAUUCCCUAAUUCAUUUGUUCACACCAAAUGAUGGGCUUUAGCAGCCCCACCAACACCUCAUAAAAAAAAAAGACCAGAACUGAGCUAGGUGCCUUACGUGAGACUCGAGCACAGUUCAAAAGUUUUCCACGCUUUCAAGUAACCACCAAAACUACUAAACCAAGGCCCUUUAGUUGAUAACAUAAUAUAAACAUCAACAUAUAACCGCACCUUAAAGAAUUUCAAGAAUUUAAAUAAAACCAAAAUAAAUUAAUUUAUUAUUCACUUUCAUCACACUUUCCUCAUUCAACAACACACCACAAUCAAACAUUUAAUAACCCUAGUAAAUUUGCAGUUGAGCAUGCAAAAAACCCUAGUAGAAUCAUUUGUCCUUACUUGCAGUGUUGUCAUUUAAAGGUAGAUAACAUAGAUGAGUUAUAAGAGCAUUUAAUAUGCAAUGGAAAUAAAUAAGUAAUGAUCACUCUAACAUUCUGAGUCAAGCUUUAUGUCGCCCAGAGUAUCCAGGUCAUGUUAGAGGAAUGGGAUUUGGAGUCGGUCAUAGAGAUUAUUUCCCGUCCAAAAAGCGCCAUACGCACCAUGAGCAUGAUAAAUUAACUGCCCAAGUGAAAGACAUAUUGGAAAGAAUGACACGAAUGGAAAAUGAGAUGAUUUCGCUUUGAAAAAUUGGCUCACCAAAUACUACUGAAGGAACUAAUAUUAAUAUUGGCCAAGGGAGUUGCACAUUGUCAUCAAAUAAUUUUACCAAGGUAAGUAACUUAUCUACAUUACUUUCAUUAUUACUUUAAUUUGGUUACUUUAAACUUUCAUAGGUCUUCAUAUUUAGUCACAUUGAAGAUUGUCUUAUAAUUAUGUUUUAUAAUGUAGGGGGUCUCAAAAUGUAAAUUGUUAAGGGAUAACAUGGUAGACCUCUACCUAAGGGAUAUGUCAAAAUUAGUAUAAAUAUUGCUUUGGAGCCAAUUGUAUCCUUGCUUAUACUUAUUGUUGAUGAUGACAUGAUGACAAUAAGACAAGGAAUAGGUACAUUUGUCGCAUGGCCAAUCAAUUUCAUACAAAUUGGUGAUUUGGUAUGUUUAUACAAUUGUAUUCAUUCAUAUUUAUGAACAUAUUUUAUUUAUUACCUAACUUCUUUAAUUGAUGAUGUUUUAGGAAUCUACUCAACCUAAAAAGAAAAAGAUGAAUAAUAGAAAUGAAUGUGGUGCACUGAAAAAGAAAUGUCAAGGGAAAAUGUUCAUUCAACAUAGUCCUCAUAAACUAUUUCAUCCUAAUAUUCCUGAAUGGCUCAAUUGCCUUUCUUCAUACAUAAAACUAAAGUCAUCAGAGUCACUUCAUCCAGUACAAAUGGACAAAAACAUAUUUGGGCUAGAUAUUCAUAAAGAAAUCGUUAAUGCAGAAAUUAUUAAAGAAGUUACAGCCUAUGCAUGGCUAGGUGCAACUACAAUUUCUAUAUAGAUCGAGUACAACAUAUAGUUCUUUUUAUCAUUAACUUCAUUCUUAGAUUAUCAUAUUGCUAAUACAUUUUUAUAUUUUUCUUUUAUAAGGUACCUAUAUCAAAAUUUUGUUAAGCUAAAUGAUAAGGUGUUCUUUUUUUUAUCACCCCAAAUCACGACCUACCAAUGAAAGACAAAAUGCAAAAAAUAGUUACUCUUUUUCUUGAUAAUGGGAUGAUUGAUAAGUUUGUUCUUGCACCUAUGAAUACCAGGUAAUAUUGUACUUUACAACUUUAUCAACAAUGUAUUAUUUUCAAAGUUAGAUGUACAAAUUCUAGUUUUGUUGAUUCAUUUAAAAUUGUAGCCAACAUUGGGUCUUGCUGGGAAUCAAUCUUAAACGUAAGAUAAUUCAUUAUCUUGACCCAAUGGUGGUAGACAUUAGUAUGAGGCAAGAUUUGAAGAAAUUGCUUGACAUGUAAGAAUAUAUGGGUUGUAUACUUUUAGUUGAUAUAUAUAUAUAUAUAUAUAUAUAUAUAUAUAUAUAUAUAUAUAUAUAUAUAUAUAUAUAUAUACACACACACACACAGACACACACACAUACACACUUUUAGUUGUAUUGUUUUUACUUAUAGAUGAUUUAAUUUUAUUUUUUCACUAGGGUUAUACAAACCUAUCGAGCUCAAACAGAAUACAUGGUUUCAAAGUCUAAGUCAAACAAUAUCAAUUGGACAACAAUUAAGGUACAUUACUCUAGUAUGUUUUGUGUAGCAUAAUCUUGAUUGUGAUAAUUAAAUUUUUGAAUGACCUUAUGUGACCAUUAGUUCACAUUAUGGUUGCUUGCAUUCUACUGGUUAGGUGUACAACUUGUAUUCUUGAAUGGUUGAAGAUAUAUUUCCUUGUUGCAUGGUAUUGGUUAGUUAAAUAACUUGUGUUAUUGUGAAACUGGUUGGAGGAGUAUACAGUUGUAAUGAAAGCAUGACUUACUAUUAAGAGUUUAAACUUGUAUAUGAUAUAUAGUUAUUUGUUAUCAUGCACUCAAUCUGUUUGGAGUAUACUAGAGUUUUGGUUAUUUUUUAUGUUCAAAUUAUAAAGAUGUUUUUUAAUUUUGGUUUUCUAGUGUCUAAGACAAGCCAAUGACAAUGGUUGUGGGUAUUACGUGUGUCAAUAUAUGAAGGAAAUUAUCACAUACUGUGAAGGAGGAAAAAUCCCAACUGAUGUAAGUUAUCUUUAUUGUCAUAAUUAAUUUGUAGUAAAAUUUAAUUAACUAAUUCUAUAUUAUUUUUCUUUCUUGUAGUAUUUUUCUAGUUGUAGAUGUCAACAAUAUCGUGAAACUCAAAUCAUUGAAGUUAGGGAAAAUCGGUGUUUAUAUGUAAUUAGUACAUGAUUAUAGGUUAUGUUAUCGUGAUGUACAUGCUUAUAAGUAUUGAUAAGAUAUAUAUGUUAUGAUUGUAUAUCAUGUCAUGGAACGUACUAAACGACUGAACGAUUAAAUUUUGAAAUAUUAUUGCACAAACAAUUUUUAUUCAUAUUAAUGAACAUUCUUUCGAGACAUCUAUCAUAUUUUUCUCAAUAUUAUAUAUAUUUUUUUAUAAUAGAACCAAUACAUAGUGUGAGUUUGUACAUAAUAGAACCAAUAUUUUAUAUUUUAUUCUAAAAUUAAUUUUGUUGUUUAAAUUUAGACUAAUAGAUAAUGUUUUUUUUUUAAAUAAGCGUUAUCUGUUGUAAGAGACCAAUAGAUAACGCUUCUUUAAAAAGCGCUAUCUAUUGUUAGCCACCAAUAGAUACUCCUUCUUUAAAAAAGCGUUAUCUAUCCACUAGUGGAAAAAUAGCUUUUUGUGACGAUCCUAUUAUAAUGAAUAAAAAUUAUCCGUUAUAAUAGGUUGACCGGUGGCAGAAUGGUAAUAAAAAUAAGACAUAUUAUAACGUAGUUUUGUAAAUCAGUUAUAAUAUGAAACGCNAUGGCAAACUUGUAAAUAAGUUUAAGACAUUAUAACGUAGUUUUGUAAAUCAGUUAUAAUAUGAAACAUAAUGGCAAACUUGUAAAUAAGUUUAUAACCUAUUAUAACGGAGUUUUAGAAAUCAGUUAUAAUAUCUCCUCCUUUCUAGUUUUUCAUAUUUCCCUAAUUUCAUUUCAAUGUUCCCCUCAUCUCGUUCCUCUCCCGCUCUUCGUGUCGAAAGCUCCGAACACUCCGCUCUUCGUCUCUUCCUUCGUGUCUAAAGAACCAUCUGUAAGACCAAUGAAAAAUGUCUAUUUUAAUAAAGAGUAGUAAAUUUUAGCAUUAUUAUUAGUAAUAAUAAUUUUAAAGGAUCAAAAAUAUAUGAUAGAGAAUUAUAUUAAUUUAAGAAGGAGGGGUUUAAAAUUUCUAGAACCUAUUUUAAAAGUUUCUCUUUAAAAAAAAUUGAAUAGUAAAAAAAAUUAAUAGUGCCCAAGGAUAAGCAUUCCACGUUGGUGCCAAGAGUGAUCAGAUAUGUUUAGGUGCAAAUGGGAUUAAAAUAUUAUUUUUUUAAUAAAGGCUUAAUACCGCUUUUGGUCCCAUGUUUGGGGGGUUGUGUUCAAUGUGGUCCUACCUUUUUUUCCCUUAUGAAUAGAUCCCACCUUUUGAAAAAUUCGUUCAAUUGAGUCCUUUUGCCUUACGGCGUCAGUUUUCUAACGGAGCUGGUUCCCCCUGGAUAAACCUUAGCAACGUGGCAAGAUAAUGUGACUGCGUGGCACUGUGGUUCACCAUUGUCACCGUCAACUUUAAUCUUCACUGUUGACCCUGGGUUACACCUCAUCACCUCAUGUCCAUAGUCAUAGAUCCUUCUAAACUGUUCUUUGUAAUCUAUUUCCAGUUGUCGGGUUGCAAUCAACUUUGCCCUCCUUGCCUUGGAAAUUGAAACAUUCUUAUUCCAUUUCCUUAAAGCUUUACUACGUAUGUCUUUCACUUUGAGACUAGGAUUGUCCAUUAAAGACUUAUCAAUCUCCUGACUCAACCACUUAACAUUCAUCAUUUUAAUGUUAAGUUGCCUACUACACGUAUGGGUGUCAAUAAUCUUCCUCAAUUGCCAAAUUUUACGUGAUGGCAAAUACCCACAAUAAGCCACCCAUGGGCACUUUCCUUGGCCAACCAAGCAUCUUACCCUCACCCUACGUUUAUCAUUUUUCACAAAUUUAAGAGACCUCCCAGCAUGCACAGAAUAGCUUCGUAUGGCAUCCUUAAAGUCUUCCUUAUCUAUAAAUAUUGUGCCCACUUGCCACCUAUAAUCUGCCAUUGAUUUCUGUUUUACAUACUUUGAAAAGGGGCCACUUGGCACUCUAUCCUCGAUGUCAUCCUCAUCACUUCCACUAUUUUGUGGCGUUAAAAGCACAUCAGACUCCCAUUCAUCAUCUGACAAUCCCCUUCCAAUUGGUUGUGCUUCAUCAUCACUGUGUUCAACCACGUACUCAUCACCACUCGAAUCCUCUAUUCCUAGUUCAUCCUCACUGUCGUCUUCCACUUCUUCUUCAUCAGUCUCAAUUGCUUCUUCUUCAAUCUGAACUUCUUCUUCUUCAUCAGUAUGACCUCCUACUUUUUCAAUCUGAACUUCUUCUUCUGCACUGUGAACUUGUUCUUGACUUUGAACAUCAACUCCAACAUCACUGUCAUGUACCACUUCUUCAUUUACAACCUCAACUCGACCCUCAACACAGUCAUUCUCAACUAGCACUUCUUCUUUCUCAACCUCAUCUCGACCUUCACACUCAUUCUCAACCUGAAAUGGNGNNUCAACACCAACACCCUCAAUAUGAACCUCAGCUCCACCCUCAUUUUCAACCUCCACUGCUCCUUCCAUAUGAACAUCACUNUCAACUGCCACUUCUUCUUUCUCAACAUCAUCUCGACCUUCACACUCAUUCUCAACCUCAGCUCCACCCUCAUUAUCAACAUCCAAUCCAUCCUCAAUAGCCUUAUGUUGUUGCACUUCCUCGUCCCCAACCCCACUACCCUCACCACUGUCUGUUGGUCCUUCACAUAAGUACAACACAUCAUUCACAUUGUUUUCUACUACCUCUGGAUUGUCCACCCCAUGAACAACAAACAGGUUAACUUUUCCUAAAUAAUGAGCCACCUUCAGCAUGGUCAUAGCUUCUUUAUCAUCAUACAACUUGUGUAAUACAUGUUGAACACUGUAAUAUAACUCUGAUACUUGCAUGUAACCCGUGUGCUUAAGUGAACCCACUAUUCCAAAAUAACACCAUUUGUCGGGGUCAACCUCCCAAUAUGUUAUCUCCCCACCUAUAUACUUAAAUGGCACGUCUUUUAUCAAGGUCCCACCGUGGUGGGCCACUACCUGAAACCUCUCAACAGACAUCCCAACCCUAACCCUGCAAAUGCAAAAGGGGACCACUACAUUAACUUAAAGAAUGACCUAUGGGACCACUAUCAACCCCAAUAAUGCGACAACUAGUCCCAUAUAACAGAACCCAAUUUCACCCCAUACGUAAACCCCCCACAACGCGACAACAUUCAAAAACAAAUAUUUCAUGGAAUUCACAAAAUUGACAGAACAGAACAUAAAGACUUACCUCAGUGACGCUUUCCCAUUCGCAAUGCAAGGACAACAACUCCAAUUUGAACUUCGAUCUUCACCACAAGGGAUAAUCCGAAAUCGCGAAUUGAAAUGGAACCCUAACCCAGAAAGUGAUAACCCUCUUUUUAACCCCUCUUCACCAUAAAGGGAUAAUUCUGAACUUUUUUAACCCUUUUUUUUUUCAUUUUUCUAAUUUACACGUAAACAAGUCUUACACUGCCACGUUGCUAAGGUUUAUCCAGGGGGGCACCAGCACCGUUAAAAAACUGACGCCGUAAGGCAAAAGGACUCAAUUGAACAAAUUUUUCAAAAUGUGGGAUCUAUUGAUAAGGAAAAAAAAGGUAGGACCACAUUGAACACAACCCCCCAAACAUGGGACCAAAAGUGGUAUUAAGCCUUUAAUAAAAUAAUAUUUAAAAUAAAUAAAUAAAAAAUUUAAAAAACUUUUGAAUAGUAAAAAUUUUUAGCUAUAAAUAGCCAAGGGGGGAAGAAGUGUUGAGAUUGUUGACAACACAAACUCUAUAUCAAACUAGUUUUUGAUGAUGACAAGGGUAAUUAUCGAGAAAUUGGAAUAAACAGAAUGAACAGAAGUGUCUGAAUACAACACCGGACGUAAUUCUGCAAAUGUGUGAAUCAUGCAAUAAGAUACCAUAUUGGGAACACUUUCGAUAAGAGCCUCACCGACUCUUUCUAACUUUAGUCAAAGAAAUGAAAGAAUGGAACUCUGUUUUUCAUGCUAUGUGUUAUGUCCUAGAUUAGGUCUUUCAUUUUGUAAAAUGGCAUAUAAAGUCAUCUUUUGUUGUUUUCUGUGUUUUGUUUUGAUUUUCCGUAUUGUCUGUCCACCAAUGUAAUAUCUUUUACUCAAGGAAAUGUUAUUAGUCGUUUGAAUCAAUCCAAUUACUUAAACUGAUUGAAUAAUAUCUGACAUAUUGCUUGAUUGAUUCGACUGUGCUCUGUUGAAGUCAAUUAUGCUUAAUCUGUCAUGCAUCUUUACAUAUUGACUUCUAUUUUAAUAUGAUUUAAUUCUUGCUUGCCCACUACACUUGAUCUAGAAAAGGUUGUUGAAAGGUUUUGCAGGAAGGACAUUGCUUUGGACAUCCACAAUUGGAAUUCAACAUUUACAUAAAGCAAUGCAUUCGAUUGAUGAAUUAAAGCAUUCGACUGUGUCUAAAUGGGUUAACAAUUUCAAUCCUGGAAUUUAUUUCUAUCCUUACUGUUUGCUUAAAUCAUUACAAUACUGUUAUUAUCUCUGUUCUUUACAUGUUUAAAUAUCUGAAUUGAGAUAAUAUUGUGAGAUUGUUGAUAUUUGUAUUAUUGCAUAUAUAUGUGAUUUGAUAAUUUGAUUAUGAUACAAAUUUGUGCUUAAACUGUUGUUGAAUCUGUGAUAUUCUUCAUUGUGCACUCAAACUGUUUUUGAAACUCAUGCAUAAUGACAGGGGGAGUAUCACUGUGUUACACAUUGUUUCAUCACAUAUCUACAUUUCAGGGGGAGUUUACACUGUUUUGUGAUGAACUUGUGAUUUUGAGAGCAUCAUUGUAUUUUACAAACUGCAUAUCUUUAUGAUGCAUCUCUGUGUUUUUAAAAAGAUUGCAUAAAUGUUUGAAGCAUUCCUUUUUUGUUAAUGCACAAAGGGGGAGAGAUAUACAUGAGUGUAUGAGAGCAAGUCUAUAUGGGGAGAAUUGCUGCAUCAUACUUUAUCUGCUUGAUAUUUUUGUUGUAUAUGCAGAGUAACUGAACUAUUUUAAUUUUUUAUGAUAUAUGCUUUUACUCUGUCAUAUGUUAAUGUGUACAAACAUGGUUGAGUUAUUAAUCAUGGUUGUGCAUCAUCAAAAAAGGGGGAGAUUGUUGAGAUUGUUGACAACACAAACUCUAUAUCAAUCUAGUUUUUGAUGAUGACAACACAAUGCUUGAUAGCAGUACACAUGUUGCUGCAUUACAUGUUUGUUCUGAAGUGUUUGUCAUAUCUGUUGAACAUGUUUUGUUGAAUUGCAAUGUAUGUUCCUAUGAUUGAUUGUGUGUUAUAUUCGUGGAACAUGUUUGUAUUGAAAUGUGCGUGGGAUAUACUUGUAUUGAAAUGAGAACUAAAGUGUUUUUGAUAACUGCAUAUUUUUGGAAAGAAAAAGAUCACAAGCACCUUUAUGAACUUAUAUUUCUUGUGACAAAGUUCUAGUCCAGUCGAAUACACUCAUGAUGGAUUCGACUAUGCUAAAAUCUUUGUACCGAUUUUGAGAACCUGUUCUAUGUGAGAUUUUGAGUUGAAAAUAAUUUCAAAGUAUUUUUUCAUGUGUCAGUCGACAUUGUGGGUUACAUAUUCGACUGUAUUACUGUUCUGUUUGAAACUCUGUUAAGCUUACGCGCUCCAACAACUAUAUCUUUCAAAAUUUAGUUAAGACUGUGUGACCUGGUCAACUGUCAUAAAUGUGUGUUGAUUCUGUUGACUGAGGAGCCUGUGUGUUGACUGUCUGUUAUAACUAUUUUAAUACAAUUGAUUGUAUUAGUAGUGUAUUCGACUGAGAAGCAACGUGAAAUAACAGAAAACUAUAAAUAGAUAGAAAACGAAUUGUUCUGUAACUUUUGUGAUCUAACAUUUUCAUUGUCCUGUUUCAGAUUGAAUUCUUUGUUUCAGAAGCUCCAAGAAUUCUCCAAGAAGACGAUGGUGAUCUUCCUUGAGAGAGAUUCAAAGGGAGGAGUCCAUUGCGCAUACUACUUGAUCAUUAUCUGCACAAAGAAGGUGCUUUCUGUUUGAUCUUGAAGGCUUGGCAUCCUGUGAAGACUGCUGCAUUUGAUUGAAGGCUUGGCAACCUGUGAAAUCUAUUGUGAUAGGCUUGCCAUCCUAUGAAGAGUGUUGGUUACACAUUGAGGAUUGUUCACCGUGGGUGCAGAUUGUAGAAGAGGGAAUUCUUGCUGCAAUUCUGGUUUCUAUGUGUGCAACGAUAUUUUGGUUUUGGGUUAGAGAGGAGAUUUAUAUUUUUGCGUGGUGCUUCUAUAAAUUCCUUGUUGUAAAAACUGCAACCAUUAUAGUGCAUUUGCUUCCUGGAUUGGAAGGACACUGAAUGUAGGCAUUGUUGGCCGAACCAAUAUAAAAACCAUUGUUUGAUUUUCUCUAUCCCUGCACUCUUUAUUUCCAGUCGACUUUAUCUGUUUAGCAAUCAACUGUGUUUUUCCGCUGCAUUGAAUUUUCAUUACUUGCAUUUCAAGGAAAGAUCAAAAAGCUUUGAAUUUUCAUACCAAGAUUGCGAAAAGAUUUUGUUUAUGAAUUAACACCAAUUCACGCCCCCCCCUCCCUCUUGGUGUAAAACUAAGCCUACCUGUUUCCUAAAAAGAAGUAGAGGAAAUAAGAGAGAAAGAGAGAAAGGGAGAGAAGGAAAGAAUUAGGAAGAAAUUUUGGUUGCAAAGAGAAUAGAGAUUCUAGAGGAUUUUCAUGGAAACAACUUCUGAGUAGGAAACUAAGUCUGGAAAAGAGGUAAGGGAGCUAACCUUUCUAAGCUUUUAUAUUAUGAUAAAAUAUUUUCUUACAACUAUUCAUGUCUUGAAAUUCUGUGCAAUUACUGUUAAUGUAAAACCUAUGUGCUUGUUGUAUAACUAUUUGAAUUUCUGCAUUAAUAUUAUAUGUUUUUGUUUUGAAUCAGUGAAUAAGAAAUUUGUUAAUAACAAGUUGAGGAACACUUUGGCUAGGAAAGACCUGGUACUUAAGUUGUUCAUUGUGACACACCUCUCUUUCCUGGAAGUCUACUCGAUGUGUUUUUAACUAAAUUCUUAUUAAACAAAAUAUAAUAUGCUAAUUUUAUUUUGUAAAAUACUCAAUGGAUAUGAAAUCUGUGUUGAAUGUAUUAUAUUAAGUUGGAUGUGAAAUUAUGUAUUUGAACAUAGUAAGAGUUUGGUGGAGAGACUUUGUAGCGACAUGAUAUGAGUUGAUGAAUGUGAACAUGAUGUGAGUCUCGUGGAGAGAUUCUAUAGUGAUAUUGUAUUAGUGUACACUUUGAUGUUGAGAAUCCUGAUGGGAGGGUCAUCCUGAUACUCUAAUAACUCUCCAGUCUUAAGUAGAGAAAGAUGAGUUAUGUGGUGAGAGGGUGAUAACGGUCUAAAAACCAUUAUUUUUGCACUUAAAUUAAUCACACCCUUUAUGGCUUAGAAUGAACUUUGAAUCAUGUAAAACUCUUAGUUUAGUCAUAAGAGAAUCAAAAGUGGUUUUUAGAGAUAUUAUGCUUGUUUUACAUUGUUUUGGCAGGAUUUGAUGAGAAUUGAAGGAUGGAAGUGAAGAAGGAAGGACUUAGACUCAAGAAAGGAUGAGAAAAGAAGCAAAAGAAGAGUGAGGUCCACCGCUCAGCGCCAAUUCCAGCACUGAGUGCCAGCUUCGAGGAGGAAGGCACUAUUUCUCGCUUGAGCGACAACGCUUAGCGUUCUGCGAUUCUGAGGGCCAGCGCUGAGCGCCAGUUUCCACCACUGAGCGCCCUACGAUUAUAGGGUCCACCGCUGAGCGGUCAAAUAGGCGUUGAGUGCCUAAAUUAUGGGCAUGUGCCAAAACUCUGUUACUUUUCUGUGUUAUAAAUAGCCUCAGUGCGAUCCUCAGAGUAAUCUUUUGGCAGAGGAAGACUCCAGAGCACUUUCUACACUCCUUCGAUGCGGUUUCUUGGAUGCUUAGGCUCCAAUUUAUCAAAUCUAGGGUUUACUCUUUCAUCUUUUGUAUUAAUUCCAUCUAGUUUCACCAUGUUCAUGGUGAACUAAUCCCUUUGUUAUUGGGGAACAAUGUAGUCCUUUUGAAACUCUCUUGCAUCAAACUUCUUAUUAUAUUCAUAUGCUUUUAUUAUCAAGUGUUUGGGUUUUCUUUUCUGAUGUUAAAUGCUUACAUCGUUUAACUCAUUCGGUGGUAUGAUAUUUGAUUUUGUCGAUACGGGAACGUACGCGGAAAUCUAGAACUGAUUAGAAUUCUCUUGACUAUGAAAUACUGCCUAGGAAUAGGAGUAGGACGGUCAAUUGCUUUAAGCUUUUGUACUUUAAUGCGUUGGUAAUUACUAGGGAGACUAGGAAUCGUAAACUAGUAAUUUGUAAUAGGCUUUCUUCGUCGAGGAAUCGAGUUUUGAGUAAUUUAGAAAGUUGCAUGACAUUGAUAAUAAAGCGAAUUUAAUAAGAAUAUUAAAUAUAAGAGAGUGGAUAAGGAUGAAAUUAUAAACCCCAACAACCCCAUUCAUGCAUAUCUUUUAUUUUCUAAUUAAUUCAAUUUGCAUUUGCAUGUUUAGAUUUAGUUUUGCAUUAACCCUACAAAAUUAUUCUUCUUCUAAGUCUUAUGUAAUCAAUUUACAUGAAAGAUAAGGCCUAAGAGUCGCUUGGGAAACAAUCUUGGACUUACUGUCUAUUAUUACUUGCCAGGGGCUUAACAAGUAUUUGGCACCAUUGUCGGGGACUCGUGGUUUAACUUUUCAAGUAGUGUAAAUUGAUUAAAUUUGAAUUUGUAUAUAUUUUGUUUCUAGUUUUAUUUUAUUUUAUUUUGCAGGAAGCAUUUCAAACCAGAAGCAAGAAAAGUCAACCUCUUUUAGAAGGACUGAGUGAUAGGAGGGGGAAGAAAGUUAGACGUUCGUCUAGAGAACUAUUCCCUUCUCCUGAAAGGCUAUUACAACCCUCACCGGAGGCAUCUUCACAAAGGACAAAAGAAGAGAUGGCAAAGCAAGCUCCUCUUAUACGCACACUUGCAUAUGCGUCAAAUGUUGUUGGACCGUUGCACUUUAACAGUAUAGCCAUGCCAAGGGACAAUACAACUAACAUGGUGAUGAAUCCUGCGUUAAUCCAUCUGGUGCAGAGCAACCAAUUUCAUGGGCUGUCGAAUGAGAAUCCAUAUGAUCAUUUGACAACGUUCAAUGAAAUUUGUAAUACAGUAUAGAUGAUUGGAGUUUCAUACGACGGGAUCAAACUCAGUUUGUUCCCUUUUUCACUUGGAGGUAACGCCAAGUUGUGGUUACAUUCAUUUCCAGAAGGAACUUCACAACAUGGGAGACUGUGGCGUCCAAAUUUUUGAAUAAGUAUUUUCCGCAGUCAAAGAUUAGUCAAGGAAAACUGGAGAUUUCUUCCUUCAAACAGGGGAUGGAGGAAACCCUUGGAAAGGCAUGGGAUAGGUUUAAAGCCUUGUUGAGAAAAACUUUUGUUCAUGGGUUUGAUAAAACAACUCUGGUUCUUGCAUUCCUUGGAGGCCUUAGUACACAGUCUAAGAUGAUGUUAGACGCUUCAGCUAGAGGCGACAUAAAGAGAAAGCUUGAGGAUGAGGCUUAUGAUUUAAUUGAAAGUAUGGCUGUGAAUGAGCAAGAGACUCAUAGUGAAAGGGGUGCAACAACUCAAAAGAGGGGAGUUUUACAGUUGUCUACUGAUGAUGCAUUACUAGCUCAAAAUCAUCUUCUCACUCAGAAACUUGAUAAUCUAACAAAGGUUCUCGCUCAACUUCCAAAGGAGAUCAGGAAUGUGUCUCAAGCUCAGUAACUUUGUGAUUUCUGUGGUGGUGACCAUAUUAAUGUUCAAUGUGCGGUGAAGGGAAUUUCAACCAAGGGAACUUUAGUCAAGGUUGGAAGAACCAUCCUAGUAUUGGGCAGAGUCAAAAUAACCCAUCUGGGCAAAUAGUGUUAGGAAACAGGUUGGCUUCAUUUUACACCAAGAGGGGGGUGAAUUGGUGUUAGUUCAAAUUUAAAAUCUUUUCGCAAUCAUGGUAUGAAAAUUCAAAGCUUUUGAUCUUUCCUUGAAAUGCAAGUUAUUGAAAAUGUAAUGCAGCGGAAAAACGUAGUUGACUGCUAAACAAAUAUAGUCGACUGAAUUUAAAGAGUGUAGAGAUAUAGAAAAUCAAACACUGUUUUUUAUACUGGUUCAGCCAACAAUGCCUACAUCCAGUGUCCUUCCAACCUUGGAAGCAAAUGCACUAUAAUGGUUGUGGUUUUUACAGCAAGGAAUUUAUAGAAGCACCACGCAAAAAUAUAAAUGUUUCACUUUAUCGACCGACUCAUGAAAAAUCACGUUGAAAUUCUUUUCAUCUCAAAAUCUCAUCAAGUACACUUUCACAAAAUCUAUACAAAGAUUUUAGCUUAGUCGAAUCCAUUACCAGUGUAGUCGACUGAACUAGGCCUUUGCCACAACAAAUAUAAGUUCAUAAAAUUACUUGUGAGCAUGUUCCAAACAUAUAACACAUAAUCAAUGUGUAAAAGUAAUCAAAAUCAUUUUAACACACAUUUCAUACUAGCAUGUUCCAAACAUAUAACACAUAAUCAAUUAUAGGAACGUACAUGCAAAUUAACAAAACAUGUUCAAUAAAAGUAUUGUUCAAAACAGUAUAGCAUAUCAACUGAACAUGUAAUUCUGGAACAUAUGUACUGUUAUUAAGCAGUGUGUUGUCAUCGUCAAAAACCAGUUUGAUAUAGAGUUUGUGUUGUCAACAAUCUCAACAAACAAGAGGCCUUUUCAACAAUAGACUGCAACAACAACCACCUUUGUGGCAACAAGUGGCCAGCAUGACAGAGAAUGUCAGAGACCUUAAUGACAAAUUUGAUAAAUUUAUGAAGGUUUAUGAUUCUCACUAUGCGAGUCACUCACCACUUCUACACCCAAAGGAUUCAAAUCCACUGCCAAACAUCCUGGUUGGUUGGAUACUAUGCAUAAAGAGCUUCUGGCCCUACACUCCAACAAUACUUGGGAUCUUGUCCCACGUCCAUCCAACACCAACAUUGUAGGAUCCAAAUGGGUGUUUCGCACCAAAUAUCUUUCAGAUGGGUCAAUUGACAAAUUAAAAGCACGGUUGGUUGUACAAGGCUUCACUUAAACACCUAGUCUUGACUAUGAUCACACCUUCAGUCCUNUUNUUAAAGCUGCCANUNUUCNUGUCAUUCUCACUCUAGCAGUAAUGAAUAAUUGGCCUCUUCAUCAAUUAGAUGUCAACAAUGCAUUCUUGAAUGGGCACCUGACACAUCCUGUCUAUAUGGAACAACCUCCUGGGUUCGUUGGUCCUCGAUACCCAAAUCAUGUUUGUCGACUUUGAAAAGCUCUUUAUGGCCUCAAACAGGCUCCUCUUGCAUGGUUUCAACGAUUCAGCUCGUUUUUGCUCAGUCUUGGGUUCCUCGGAAGCAAGGCAGAUCCAUCUUUAUUUGUCUACCACAACACUGUUGCCACUCUAUAUAUACUUGUUUAUGUUGAUGACAUAAUUUUGACAGGGAAUAAUAAUUCUUUACUUCAAAAACUUUUGGCAAGUUUCAAAACUGAGUUUGCUAUCAAGGAUUUAGACCAUCUAAAUUACUUUCUUGGUCUUGAGGUUCACUACACUACCGAUGGUGUCUUUCUUAGCCAGACCAAAUACGCUCAAGACAUUUUAUCUCGGGCCAAGAUGUUGGAUGCAAAACCGACAGCCACACCUCUCCAACCUCAUAUUCAACUGACAACCACAGGUGAUCCAUUCUCUGAUCCCACUCAAUAUCGCUCUCUCGUUGGUGCACUCCAGUAUCUCACUAUAACUCGUCCUGGCUUGUCCUACGCGGUAAAUUUGGUUAGUCAAUUUCUUCAAGCUCCAACAACUGAUCACUUUCAAGCAGUUAAACACAUCCUUCGAUAUGUCAAGGGCACCAUGUCCUAUGGCCUAUCCUUCACCCGUGGAGCUUCCCUUAAUGUUCUUGGAUACUCAGAUGCUGAUUGGGCUCGAUGUAUUGAGACUAGGCGAUCUACCUAUGGUUAUUCCAUCUUCUCAGGCGGUAAUCUCGUCUCAUGGAGUGCUAAGAAACAACCAACCGUAGCUCGAUCAAGUUGUGAAUCAGAAUAUAGAGCCAUGGCUAAUGCAGCAGCUGAACUAAUAUGGCUUACUCAUCUUCUACAUGAUCUGCAUAUUUCCCAUCAAGCGCCAACUCUUCUUUGUGACAACAAGAGUGCUAUAUUCCUCUCCCAAAAUCCGGUGGCUCACAAACGCGCUAAACAUAUUGAUAUUGAUUAUCACUUUGUUCAAGAGCUUGUUCUAUCUCACAAACUCAUCACUCAAUUCAUUCCUUCUGAUCUCCAGCUAGCAGACAUAUUCACUAAAAGUCUGCCUGGACCAUUGUUCCAGUUCUUCAGAGCCAAGCUUCACGUUGGACCAAAUCCCAUGCUUUUCUUGAGGGGGGAUGAUAGGAAAUAAUAUAUUUGAUUAUAGUUUACCUUAUUUAGUUUCUGCAUAAUUGAUUUUGUCUUAAAUAAUUGAUAUACUCUUUUCUUAAUUAUGGUUAUGUACAUUCUAUAUAUUGUACGCUGGUUACUCUUUCAAGAUCAAUAAAACACAUUUGUUACAAUCUUUACACAGAUGUUUUCUCCUUUUAGGCCGAGUACAAGCUUCCUGUUCUUCAAUUUCCUCUUCAUCAAGAUCUACCACCUCUCCUAGAUAGUACUUUAUUCUCUUGGAGUAAACAAGAAUUUGGUGGAGUACUUUCACUGAAGGCAUAACAAUCACCUGAUUAAAGAUCUCUCUAAAUUGCUCAUGGUGACUUUCUCUUCUCUCAAUUUUUUUCUCCUUUUCUUCUUCUUCUUCUCCAUCACUGUUGUCUAGCUCAAUGAUUUAUUUUUCCUCUUCCUCCUCCUCACUACUCUCAAUCUCAAUAAUUUCUUUUUCUGCUCUUCUCUCGCUCCUGCUCACCACUACUUUGCAUUCCUCUUUAGAGUUAACAUCAGUAUUAGCCCUAAAUUGGUUCUUCUUUGUGGUUUCCACUCUCUUUGACAGCUGACCAAUUUGACGAGGCAUGGAAACAGCAGUUGAAGGAGUAUCUUCAGUAGGACAUAGACCACAAGGUGUGGUUGGUGAGUGCACAGUUUCCUUGGAUAGUGGCAAAGAAGAAGCUGAUGCAGAAGUUGGAGCAGGAAUUUCAGGUGUUGAGGCUGGUUCAACAAAUGAAGAAAAACCCAAUCCGGAAAUUGGAGAUAUAGUUCCUGUUUUUGAACACGGAAAAUAAAGUUCAUCAAACUUGGCAUGUCUUGUUAGGUAUAACCGGGAGGUUGAAGGAUCCAACCAUUGAAAUCCUUUAUGGUUGCUGCUGUAUCCAAGAAAAAUACAAGGUGCACUGCGAGGAGACAAUUUGUUAGUGGCAUAGUCACAGAGACAAGGAUAAACCCGACAACCAAAAGGGUGAAAGUGAGCAUAAUUAGAAGGAGUAUUAUAUAAGGUCUCAAAUGGAGAAACAUCAUUUAGAAGAGUGGUCAGUAACCGAUUUAUGACAUAAACAACACAACAAAAAGCAUGUAGCUAAUAAUGAGUAGGGAGAUGUGAAUGAAAAAGCAUUGCAAGACUCGUUUCAGCUCUACCAUUUUGGGCUGGUGUGUGAGGGCAAGACAUAAGAUGAAGAAUUCCAGCUUCAUUUAGCAAGGUCUUGACUUUGUUAUUNGUGAAUUCGGUGCCACCAUCACUUUGGAAAGUUUUUAUAGUAGUAUGAAACUGAUUUUCAACAAAUUUCUUGAACUGGACAAAUACAUCAUAAAAAUCAGAUUUCAGGCGCAUUGGAUAUAACCAAGUGAAUCUGGAAUAGUCAUAAAUGAAAAUCACAUAAUAUCGAAACCCAAAUUUUGAACAAAUGGGAGCAGGUCCCCAUAAAUCACAAUGAAUUAAAUCUAGCACAUGCGAUGCGCGUUUCUCAUUUAGGGAAUAAGGUAGUCUUUUACUUUUAGCUAAUUCAAAAGAGCCACAAAUGGAAGGAGUUGGUAAAAUAUAAGAUAAAGACAAAAGACCUCUUUUUCUUAAAUUGGAAAUAGUAUCAAAGUGAACAUGACCCAAACGAUAAUGCCACAAUUCAAAUGAUCCUCGUAGCUUAUUGGAAUUUAAAACAGAAACAAAGGCAUUUUGACCAUGCUACAAUACAUAUAAGUUGUGCUCACGCCUCCCUUUUGCUAGAAUUUCCUUUGUACCCCUUUACUGAAGCAGAAAAGAUGUGUCACUAAAGAUAGCAUCCACAGGAAAGUCACGUGUAAGUUUGCUAAUUGAAAUGAGAUUCUUUUGGAGUCCAGGCACAACAAGAAUAUCAAAAAGGUUUAAAUUAUUUGUCAAACGAUGAGAUCCAAUAUGGGAAAUGGGGAGAGCAUUACCAUUUCCAACAGUAACUGUGUGAUUACCAGAAUAAGGCUCAAUUGAGUCUAAAUCAGAUGAGUUUGCUGUCAUGUGUGCUGAAGCUCCAGUAUCGAGGUACCAAUCAAACUAGUUUGAAUUUGAUAGAGUGCAAGAAUUUGCAAAUGAUUCAGCAAGAUUGGCAGAUUGAGGUGGGCCACCUUCAUAACGUUGAUGGCAAGAUGUGGCAUAAUGACCUUCCCUUCGGCAGAUUUGGCAAUGGAUAGGACGACGUCCUCUGCCGCGACCACCACGACCUGAGUAUUGGUAACCACGACCUGUUUUGCCAGUUGAGAAAGAAUGCGAUCCAGAUUGAAAACAUGUAUUGGAUGAUUGCGAGGAACGUUGAGUAGUGGUAUGCAAAGCAGCUUGAGAGGGAGUAGAUUCAACGACAUGUAAAUACAUUUCAAAACUCUCGGCAGCAGAAAGAAGAUCACGAAAAACAGGCAGUGGUCGCAUGGCUAAUUGAGAUGCACCAAUGCUAGUGAAAGUGGGACCUAAAGCCCGUAAAAACCAGUGUAAUUUAUCUAAAUCAUCCACUGGUCUACCCAUAAGGCUGAGUUGAUCACAUAAGCCUCGAAACGUUUUGGAAAACUCCCUAACAGUGAAUGAGCCUUUUGUUAGGUGCAACAGUUGAUCUUUGAUCCCAAUUUCUCUUUCCUUGGAGUCACCACCAUAGAGGGAUUCAAGAGUAGUCCAGAUCUGCUGUGCGGUGUCACAGUACAGUACUUCCGCUAGAGUCUCUUCAGUAAGGGAGGCCUGAAGAAGACUUAUAAGUCUUUGAUCCUGUUGUUUCCACGUAAUAAAGGCUGGAUUAGGUCAUGAAGGUUGAAAAACAGUGAUUUUCAUAUGUCAAUUUGGACCAAAUUACACCUUUUACUACUCGGGACGAGCUUAGAAUCAAGCAAAACUCAAUAAAUGAGUCUGGAGAGAGUCAAAAGUUGUUUUUAGCGAUUUUAUGCUUAUUUUGCAUUGUUUUAUAUCUAAUUUGAGAAAAGUAAGAAUGGAGUGAAGAUACAGGUCGUUGACUAAAGAAAAGAGCAAAAAAAUGAAGUUUUGAAGAGUCGACGUACCGCCCAGCAGCACACUUAAACCGCCGGGCAGUCCAGGAUAAGGAGUAGGCAGCAUUUCACGCUGAGAGAAACCGUCGGGCGCUGCCGAUUGCCGCCGGGCGGUGGCAUGGGAAACCGCCAGGCGGUGGCGAUUGCCGCCGGGCGGUGGCGGCAGGUUGUGGCAAACCGUCGGGCGGCACACUCAAACCGCCCGGCGGUAGCACGCUGGACUUGGGCCUGAUUUUGACGCACUCCUCACCUAUAAAUACCCCUUCUACGAAUUCAGAGUCAUUCUUUUGACAGGGGAGAACGCCCAGACCUAAUUUUGCUCUCUGGAGAGGAUCUCUUGGAUGCUUAGGCUNNUUUUCAUCUUUUCUAGGGUUUGCUCUUUCAUUCUUCUUCCAUUCUUCAUCUAGUUUCACCAUGUCUAUGGUGAACUAAACCCUAUUGUUGUUGGGGAAUUCAAUGUAAUCUUUUGAUACUCUCNCUUAUUGAAACUAUUGAUUAUUUAUAUGGUCUCCAUAUGUUUCGAUUGAUUAUUGUUGGGUUAUCAUCUAUGCUUAAGGCUUUUAUCGUUUAACUCAUUUGAUAUAUUGUUGUUUGUCGUUAUUGACAUGGGGACGUGCGGUAGUGACAUGAACUAGUGAGUAAUCUCUUGAUUCUGCAAUACCACCUAGGGAUAGAGGUAAGACGAUCGAUUGCACUAACUUCUGUUUAUAAUGCGGUAUUAAUUACUUGGGGAGGCUAGGGAUAGCAAGCCAGUAAUUGAUACUAGGCCCUUUUCGCCGAGGGAUCGAGUUAAGGGGAGGCUAAGAAAGUCGCAUAACAAUUGAAUCAAUCUAAUAAUAAAGGGUAAUAUGUAAGAGAGAAUGGAAUAGAUGAAAUUGUUAGUACCCAACAACAUCCAUUCAUCCAUUGUUUUCACUUGUCAAUUGAAUCAACCUUUAUUUUGCAUGUUAAUAUUUUUAUCCUCAAAUCCAAUUUAUUAAUUUUAAUUUCUCAAGUCUUAUUAUUUUAAUUCACACGAACGAGGAAGCCAUACGAGUCUCUUGGGAAAACGAUACUUGGUCUUAGCAUUUAUAUUACUUGUACGAUUUGGUACACUUGUCAAUCCGUCAACAUUAGGAACCGUCAAAGAUCCAUCAGCAGCAGGCAAUUUCGCAGGAGGAGUUAUGAUUGAGCCAUCAAUAUGACCAUAAAGGGCCUGUCCUUCGAGAAGAGGAAGGAGCUGACGACGCUAGAGAAUGAAAUUGGUUGAGGUGAAGCGUAUGUUUAACAUGUGGAUCAUGGUGUUAAAGGAAACAGCACCAUCAGUAUUAGCCAUAGGGAAGAAAAGAAAAGAAGAAAGGGUAAGGAAGGAUCGAAAUUAGGUUGAUACCAUGUAAAGAUUGUAACAAAUGUGUUUUAUUGAUCUUGAAAGAGUAGCCAGCGCAUAAUAUAUAGAAUGUACAUAACCAUAAUUAAGGAAAGAAUAUAUCAAUUAUUUAAGACAGAAUCGAUUAUGCAGAAACUAAAUAAGGUAAACUAUAAUCAAAUAUAUCAUUUCCUAUCAAUCCGGCUAAAAGGAAAGAUCCAGGAAGUCUUACUCUUCCAUGCGCUAUAGGAGAUGUGGAUGUAGGAAGAGCUAUGCUAAUUCUGGGUCUAGUAUUAAUAUGAUGCCCUUGUGUUAUCUGAAAAAAUUUGGAGGGCUAGCAUUCAAACCAUCUAAUAUUUCUGUGAUGGUAGCGGAUGGAUCUACUAAGAGUCCGAUUGGUAUGGUGGAGGAUGUGAUUGUUCGGAUUGAGCAUCUUGAGUUCUUGGUCGAUUUUAUAGUCAUGAAUAUGGACACAAAUGAAAGGAUUCCACUGAUUCUGGGAAGGCCUUUCAUGAAAACUGCUAAAUUGGUUAUGGGUAUCUAUGAUGGGAGGAUUAUGUUAAAAGACCAAGAAAAUGUCUUAAUUUAUAAUGGCUCUGAGAAGAAGAUAACACGGUCAAGAAAGAGAGCCAAAUAUAAUGCUUCAAGGAGAGAUGUUGCAACUGGAGGAGAUACAGGUACUAAUGAUGAUUGUAAUAUUUUGCAGGUACCUUAGGAGGAUGAUGUUGACAAAGGAAUCCACUUUGACUCAAAGGAAGCAACACUCCAACCUGGUGCAAACGUGAAAUACAAGGAGAAGAAGUGGUUAGUGAAAGAGCUUAAAGAGAAAGGAGUAGUUGAGAUUGAAAAACCAUACUCCUGACUAGUCAAGGAGGUGGAUAGGAGGCAGCUGAUGAGUUGGUGGGAUGAAGACACCAUCGUGGGCGAGAAGACAUGAGUUUGAUGAGAGAUAUCCCAGUUGUUGUAAAACAUUAUUUUUAUUAUUAUUCGGACAUGUAAUUAUGGAUUUUUGGAUUUUUGAACAAUUUUUUGGUAGCAUCUACUAAGGGAUGCUAAUUAUUUAUGUAUCUACUGAAGGAUACAGGUAAGUACACCUACUAAAAGGUGUUGGGAGGCACUUACUAUUGAGUGCUAGAAAAGGUUUGGGUCAGGCUCAUGACGUUAAACAAGCGCUACCUGGAAGGCAACGCAGUUAAUUAUUUUCUUAUUUUUAACUCUGUUUUAGUUUCAUUAUAGGCUUUGAGUCUUGCAUAAGAAAGGGGAAGUGCAUUAAAUUGAAAAUUGAAAGUUGAAAUCAAGUGUUACAGGAUCUAAAACGUGAAGGCAAACCAAAAAGGGGGAAGAAAAAUUUAACGCCCACCGCUCAGCACUCAUCUGACUGCUCAGCGGUGGCGUCGCAUACUGUAACAUGGGCUUUUUAAAAGCUCAGCGUCGGAGGCCCAUUUGCACACUUCUAAAACCUCCCUAGUGUGUGCCCAAGCAUUCUCUACAGACCCUAGCACUUUGCUUUCACUUUCAAGAGAAUUUGAAAGGUUUUCCUUCACUUUUCUCAUCACCCACUCACCAAAAUCUCAUAGUUCUUCACUUUUCACCCAUUCCAUUGACAAAGUUUGGAGUUUUUGGUGAGAGCAUUGCAUUGGAGAAGCAUCCAUCAUCAUUCACAGAUUAUUUGCAUGCGUCUAGAGUAUCUCCACUCAAGUAAGUCAUGCAAUUUCAUUCUUAGGGUUUCUUGAAUUGAAUUUGUUGAAGAACGUGUGUAGAUUAGGGCUUUUGCUUUCUAUGCAUGAUUUGAUGAAAUAGAAACAUUUUGCACCGAUUAAAUUGCAUGAUUUUUGUCCGGAACUGAGUAAUUUGUGAUUGAGUGGAUAUUAGAGUGGGUUAGGUGAUGAAGGUUGAAAAACAAUUAUUUUCAUAUGUCAUUUUAGACCUAAUUACGCCCUUUACUAUUUGGAAUGAGCUUAGAAUCAAGCAAAACUCAAUAAAUGAGUCUGUAGAGAGUCAAAAGUUGUUUUUAGCGAUAUUAUGCUUGUUUUGCAUUGUUUUGUGGCUAUUUUGAGAAAAAUGAAGAAUGAAGCUGAAGAAAAGAGAAGAAAAUUGAAGAUUUGAAGAGUCGACGCACCGCCCGACGACAACUUACACCGCUGGGCGGCCCAGGGCGAGGAGUAGACAUUGGCGUUGGCGUUGGGCGAUUUUGAGGGAAACCGCCGGGCGGUGACCCUUGCCGUCGGGUGGUAGUCCGUUGGGCUUGGGCCUCUUUUCUGUUGUGCUCCUCACCUAUAUAUACCCCUAUUGCGAGUUCAGAGUCAUUCUUUUGACAGGGGAGGGCGGCCAGACCUAAUUUUCCUCUCUGGAGAGGAUCUCAUGGAUUAGGCUCCUUUUCAUCUUUUCUAGGGUUUGCUUUUCCAUUCUUCUUCCAUUUUUCAUCUAGUUUCACCAUGUCAAUGGUGAAGUAAACCCUAUUGUUGUUGGGGGAAACAAUGUAAUCUUUUGAUACUCUCUUUUAUUGAAACUCUUGAUUAUUUAUAUGGUUUCCAUAUGUUUGAUUGUUAAUUGUUGGGUUCUCAUCUGUGCUUAAGGCCUUUAUCGUUCAACUCAUUCGAUAACUGUUGUUUGUCUUUAUUGAUACGGGGACGUACAGUAAUGUCAUGAACUNNNNNNNNNNNNNNNNNNNNNNNNNNNNNNNNNNNNNNNNNNNNNNNNNNNNNNNNNNNNNNNNNNNNNNNNNNNNNNNNNNNNNNNNNNNNNNNNNNNNNNNNNNNNNNNNNNNNNNNNNNNNNNNNNNNNNNNNNNNNNNNNNNNNNNNNNNNNNNNNNNNNNNNNNNNNNNNNNNNNNNNNNNNNNNNNNNNNNNNNNNNNNNNNNNNNNNNNNNNNNNNNNNNNNNNNNNNNNNNNNNNNNNNNNNNNNNNNNNNNNNNNNNNNNNNNNNNNNNNNNNNNNNNNNNNNNNNNNNNNNNNNNNNNNNNNNNNNNNNNNNNNNNNNNNNNNNNNNNNNNNNNNNNNNNNNNNNNNNNNNNNNNNNNNNNNNNNNNNNNNNNNNNNNNNNNNNNNNNNNNNNNNNNNNNNNNNNNNNNNNNNNNUUAUUUUUAUUUUCAAGUCUUAUUAUUUUAAUUCACGUGAACGAGAAAGCCUUUCGAGUCUCUUCGGAAGAACGAUAUUGGGUUAAUCCAAUUAUAUUACUUGAACGAUUUGGUACGCUUGUCAAUCCAUCAACAUUAGGCAAGGCUUUGCAAAAAUCCUGACGCCACCGCUGAGCGGUCAGUGGGCGCUGAGCGGUGGGCGACAAAUUUUGUUUUUGGCUUUGUUUUGUGAUGAUGCAGUGGUGUUGAGGGGUCUUGUUUGGCCCUUAGUGCUGGAUGAUGUUUGAAUGGUGUAUGAUUGACGAUUUGCUGACUCUUAAUGGUGAAUUUCCUUGGUCGUUUGAAUUAUAAUUGAUGUAGGAAUGACAUCAUCUUCAAGGAGAAUGAAGACCAUGGGAAACAAGAGAAAAGAGCUGGAAAGGCCACGGAGAUUUUAUUCUCACACGUUCCUCUCUAGGAAACAUGAGGAACACUUCUCGAUUGUGCAAGAAAGGAGAUUGCUGAUGGAGAGGAAAGCCAUUUGGAUUCCAGACUUGGCUCCUCAAUUUGGUGCGGAGCUUGAAAGCAGAAAUUGGGAGAAGCUGGCUACAUAUCCUCCGUUAACUAACAUUGAGGUAUUAAAGGAAUUUUAUACUAAUGCCCUAUCUAGAGGAGUGCAAGAUGAGAAGUACACUAGUUAUGUGCAAGGGGAGUUUAUCAGGUAUGAGCCCGAGACUAUUAAUAGGUUCUUAGGCACUGAGUAGGCUGGUGAGCAGUGCCGGUAUGCACUGAACAUAGGGGAAUUUUCAGAUUAUGAGGAUAUUGAAAGGGUGUUGUGCAUACCUAGAGGAAACUUUCACAGGAACCCAAAUUGAGUGCCCAUCAAUGUCAAAAGGGCAGAUUUGACACCCUUGGCAAAGUAUUGGAUGACAUUUACUCAUGCCAAUGUUCAACCAUGCUCCCAUGUUUCUGAUAUCACUAUUCAUUGGAUUAUGUUCAUCUAUUGUAUGCUGAGACAAAUGGAUGUGAAUGUUGGCAAAGUCAUCGCCAAUGAGAUCCAGAGUUAUGCUACUACUGUGAGUAGCAGGACACCAAUGGGACAUCCUUCCCUUAUUACCUACUUAUGCCAACAGACUGGGGUGGAUACUUCUAUUCCACCAUUUGAGAGGCCCAGGAAGGCUAUAGAUGUUGCCUACUAUAGACAGUUUUGUGGAGGAAAUGAGGCAGCUGGACCAGUGCCUAGGAGACAAACCAGGAGAGGAGCAACUCAGUAGGAUGAGCCAGCACAACACGCAGAGCCGUUCCAGAUGAGGGACAUGUACAUGUCCAUGAUGGAGGCUAGGAUGGAGUCUCUCCGCAGAGGGUAGGUGGGCACAACCAAGAUUAUUAUAGGUCUAUAUGACACACCUCCAGCGCACAGGUGGACUAUGGAUGAGUUCCAUAAUGUUAUGGCCUGGCCUCAGGAGCAGGCACAGGGUAGUGGAGCUGGAGCAGCUGCAACUGCAACUAUGGACGAGGAUGAUGAGGAGGAUGAAGACUUUGAGGAUGCAGAGGCUGGACACAAUGAGCAUUCAGAUGACAGCAUGGGUUGAUAGGGCAUAUACUGAUGGAUUCCAUUGUAGUAAGACAGGGUUUUAUCUUUAUUUGUCUUUUGUACUUUGAAUUUCUAGAAUAGGUUUAAUUUGGUUGGGUAGUGUAGGUGUCUGUACUUGCCUGGACACUUUUUUUACUAUGGUUUGACUUGGUUUUAUUGCAUGAUGAGCUUGCUUGAUGCAGUUUGAUGUGAAUGAUGAUUGAGAUUGUAUUACAUGCUGAUAUACAGGUGAAUUGUUCACUAGUUGUGUGAACAAAUGCAUGAUGAUUUAUGAUUGUGAUUAUGAUGCUAAGCAAGAUGUAUGAUUGAUAUUUGAGAUGUUCAAAGAGCAUAACUGUGUGAGGUUUUGAGCUCCAGAGUGCUUGUUGAUAUAUUUACUAUUCAUUUGGAAGCAUGAAUGAUAUUGCCUGAUUCUUUAUGAUUGAUUGAAUUACAUGCUUAAGUCAUAUGAUCAAGGCCAUUUUUCGUAGCCCUUACUUGUUUCCAUUCUUUUCUCAGUUUUCUUGUUGUUUAUUAAAUUAUCUUUUGAUGCUUCAAUUUUUUUUUUAUUUUGUUUUCAGUUGAAAGCUGCAGCUGCUGUUGCACUUUGGUAGUUUGACUCAAUUUUGCAUGCCAUGUUAUUUUGUACAAUCAAUGACUUUCCAGUAUAUUGUAAUUUUAGUGGGUAUGGUAUAAAGGGUCACAAAUCAUGCCCUAUAUGUGAAGAAGGCACAUGUUAUUAUCAACUUAAGCAUGGAAAGAAAACGGUUUACAUUGGACAUCGAAGAUUUCUUAGUACAAACCAUCCUUUUCGUAAAUUAAAAAAAGCAUUUAAUUAAUGUCAAGAAAAUGAAAUAUAUUAGAGGCGUAAGUUUUCCUUUCUAUUUUGAUUCCUUCCUAUAUUAUUAUUAUGAUGUAAUGGAUGUCUAACUUUUGUAUAGGUCUUUGGAAGCUCAUUCAAGGUUGUGGGGUAUUCCAUCUAUUUCUAAGAAGAUGCAAAUAAUCACACCUAAUGUAAGAGAAGUUGACAUUCCUUUGUUUUGUGUUUUGUGAUUUCUAUUUUUGUGAGCAAUUGGUUGUGUUGUUGGUUUUGUGAAAUUUUGUUUACCAAAAUAUACAAAGCUACAUGGUGCAAAGGCUAGCUAGAGUAUAAUCUGAUAUUUUGUAUCCUUGGUUUCUGUUGACAAAUUGGCAAUUGUACCAAAUCGUACAAGUAAUAUAAAUGGUAAGACCAAAUAUCGUUUUCCCAAGAGACUCGUAUGGCUUUCUCGUUCGCGUGAAUUAAAAUAAUAAGACUUGAAAAAUAAAAAUUAAUAAAUUGGAUUUAAGAACAAAAAUAUUAACAUGCAAAAAUAAAGUUGAUUCAAUUGACAAACGAAAACAAUGGAUGAAUGGAUGUUGUUGGGGGUUUACAAUUUCAUCUAUUCCACUCUCUCUUACAUACUACCCUUGAAUAUUAGUUUGAUUAAUUCAAUUGUUAUGCGACUUUCUUAGCCUCCCCUUAACCCGAUCUCUCGGCAAAAAUGGCCUAAUAUUAACUACUGGCUUGCUAUCCCUAGCCUCCCCUAGUAAUUAAUACCGCAUUAUAAACAGAAGUUAGCGCAAUUGAUCGUCCUACCCCUAUCCCUAGGUGGUAUUGCAAAAUCAAGAGAUUACUCACCAGUUCAUGUCCUUACUGUACGUCCCCAUAUCAAUAAAGACAAACAUCAGUUACCGAAUGAGUUAAACGAUAAAGGCCUUAAGCACAGAUGAUAACCCAACAAUUAACAAUCAAAACAUAUGAAAACCAUAUAAAUAAUCAAGAGUUUCAAUAAGAGAGAGUAUCAAAAGAUUACAUUGUUUCCCCCAACAACAAUAGGGUUUAGUUCACCAUAGACAUGGUGAAACUAGAUGAAAAAUGGAAGAAGAUUGGAAGAGCAAACCCUAGAAAAGAUGAAAAGGAGCCUAAGCAUCCAAGAGAUCCUCUCCAGAGAGAAAAAUUAGGUCUGGUCGUUCUCCCCUAUCAAAAGAAUGAUUCUGAAUUCGCAAUAGGGGUAUAUAUAGGUGAGGAACGCAUCAGAAAACGGGCCCAAGUCCAGCGAGCCACCGCCGGGCGGUUUAAGUGUGCCGCCCAGCGGUUUGCCACAAAUUGCCCUAUCGCCCAGCGGCAAUCGCCACCGCCCGGCGGUUUCCCUCAGGUUCGCCCAACGUCAAUCGCCAUGCCUUCUUCUCGUCCUGGACAGCCCGACGGUUUAAGUGUGCCGCCGGGUGGUGCGUCGACUCUUCAAAUCUUCAUUUUUCUGCUCUUUUCUUGAGUCAACGACCUGUAUCUUCAACUACAUUCUUUACUUUUCUCAAAUUAGCUACAAAACAAUGCAAAACAAGCAUAAAAUCACUAAAAACAGCUUUUGACUCUCUUCAGAUUCAUUUAUUGAGUUUUGCUUGAUUUUAGGCUCAUUCCGAGUAGUAAAGGGUGUAAUUUGGUCCCAAUUGACAUAUGAAAAUAACUGUUUUUCACCCUUCAUCAGUUUCAAUGAGUCUUGAUUAUUUGUAUUUAAUUUGUAGUGUCAACGUCAAUUGGGCAGCUAUGAAUUGUUGAGAUUAUUGACAACACAAACUCUAUAUCAAACUGGUUUUUGAUGAUGACAACUCAGUGCUUAAUAACAGUACAUAUGUUCCAUUAUUACAUGUUCUUAUUCUGUAACGUUUGUCAUAUCUGUUGAACAUGUUUUGUUGAAUUACUUUAUAUGUUCCUAUGUAUGAUUGAGUGUUAUAUUUGUGGAACAUGCUUGUAUUGAAAUGUGAGAUAAAGUGUUUUUGAUCAUUACACAUUUUUGAAAGAAAAGAUCAUAGGCACCUUUUGAACUUAUAUGUGUUGUGACAAAGUUCUAGUCUAGUCGAAUACACUCUUAAUGGAUUCGACUAUGCUAAAAUCUUUGUACAGAUUUUGUGAACAAGUGUUGUGUGAGAUUUUGAGUUGAAAAGAAUUUGAAAGUUAUUUUUCAUGUGUCAGUCGACAUUGUGGAAUGCAUAUUUGACUGUAUUAUUGUUCUGUUUGAAAUUUUAUUAAGCCUACAAGCUCCAACAGCUAUAUUUUCAAAAGUUAGUUAAAACUGUGUGACCUGGUCAACUGUAAUAAAUGUGUCUUGAUUUUGUUGACUGAGGAGCCUUUAUGUUGACUAUCUGUUAUAACUGUUUUAAUACAGUCGACUGUAUUAGUAGGCUAUUCGACUGAGAACCAAUCUGUUGAAACAGAAAGCUAUAAAUAGACAGAACGCGAAUUGUUUUGUGACUUUUGUGAUCUGAUAUUUUCAUGUUCCUGUUUCAAAUUAAAUUCGUUAGAAGUUCCAAGAAUUCUCCAAGAAGACGGUGGUGAUCUUGCUUGAGAGAAAUUCAGAAGGAGAAGUCAAUUGCUCUUACUGUUUGAUCAAUAUCUGCAUAGAGGAGGUGCUUUUGUUUGAUCUUGAUAGGCUUGGCAUCCUGUGAAACACUACUGGUUCUUGACUGAAGGCUUGGCAACCUGUGCAGUCUACUGUGAUAGGCUUGGCAUCCUGUGAAGAGUGUUGGUGACACUUUGAAUUGUUCGACGUGCGUGCAGAUUGCAGAAGAGGGGAUUCUUGCUGCAAUUGCUGCAAUUCUGGUUUUGUGUGUGCAACUAUAUUUGGUUUUGUGUUAGAGAGGAGAUUUAUAUUUUUGCGUGGUGCUUCUAUAAAUUCCUUGUUGUAAAACCUGCAACCAUUAUAGUGCAUUUGCGUCCUGUGUUGGAAGGACACUGGAUGUUGGCCGAACCAGUAUAAACAUAGUGUUUAAAUUUUCUCAUCCUUGCACUCUUUAUUUUCUAGUCGACUAUAUCAGUUAGGCAAUCAACUGCGUUUUUCCGCUGCAUUGAAUUUUGAAUAACUUGCAUUUCAAGGAAAGAUCAAAAGCUUUGAAUUUUUCAUGUCAAGAUUGCGAAAAGAUUUUAAUUUUGAAUCAACACCAAUUCACCCAUCCCCCCUCGUGGUGUAAAAAGAAGCCUACCUAUUUCUUAACAUGAAUAUGGGUAUUAUGUAAUGGAACACAUGCAUACCAUUAUUUGUACAAACAUUACUCAAUCAUGGAAUAAGGUAUUAAAAUACUAACUAAAUACUUAUCCAAUUAUUCAUUACAAUAUUGUUUUAGCUCUAUUAUUUUAUUUGUAGAUCUCUAAUGAUUCAUCUCCCAUGGAAGCUGCAGACAUCAACGACAUUAGAAGGAACUUGGCUUCUUUUAUUUUAAGUGUUAGUAGAAACUUGACUAUUCGAUAAUGUAUGUACAUCAAUGUAAUAUUUGGAUUUAAUAUAUAGUUUCAUGUACACUUUGAAUAUACAUUGAUGUAUUAAAUAUUAUUAAACUAUUUAAUGUUUGAAAUGAAUUCUAUUUGGUUAGUUUCAUUAAAUUUGUUUAUUUGAAGUAAUAUUGAUUAUAAAUUGAUUGGAUGAAAUGAUAAUAGAAGAAUAUUAUUAUAAUUUCGUUUGAUGUCAAAUGUAAUAAUAAUUUUUUUAUUUAAAAAAAGAACAUAUAUUAUGACGUACUAAAUAAUGUACGUUAUAACAUAUUAUAACGUAUUAUAACGUACAAAAACUUCUACGUCAUAAUACCUUCAACCCUAUUAUAACGUACAAAAACUUUUACGUCAUAAUACCUUCCACCAUAUUAUGACGGACUUCAGAAAUUGUGUUAUAAUAUGUUCAGACUUACUACAUCGUAAAAUUAUAGUACGUUAUAAAAUGUGCAGACUUACUAUAUCGUCCAAAACUAUAUCCCCAGUAACUACGUUAUAAAAACUCAUUUUUGUACGUUAUAAAAAGUCAUUUUUCAACUAGUGAUUGUCAACCACCAAUAGAUAACGCUUUUUUAAAAAAACGCUAUCUAUUGUCAGCCACCAAUAAAGAGCGCUAUUUUAAAAAAGCGCUGUCUAUUGGUGGCUGACAAUAGAUAGCGCAUAAAUAGUGCUUAAAAAGCGUUAUCUAUAAUAAAAAAGAGUGCUAUCUAUACAUUUUUUUGUAGUAAUGGAUGUCUUGACUUGUUUGGAUACAAGUUAGAAGUGCCAUUAUGAAUUUAUCCACUGGAAAUAUAUAGCUUUUCCUAGUAAAGAAGCUCUUCUAACAACAAACUAUCUCAUAUAUCAAUGCUACCUGCCUUAGAAGCGUGCAUUUCUUUUUUCUCUAUUUUUCUUCCUCUCCACUGCUCUUACAUAAUUGAAAACGAAAAAUGGAAAUUUUAUUACCUUGAUAUUCUUGCUUAAAACAUUUCAUUAUUUUUUCUGCUUUCUACAAACUGAGGAGGUUCAAGUAGUGGGACAAACUCCAGGGAAUUUUAUCAUUUGGCGAGCCAGAUUGGCAAACCCAAUUUUAGUAAGUAUUGUUAUUCAUACUUGCCUUAAUUACUUAUGUAUUAAAACACUAACUAAAUAUUUAUCUAACUAUUGAUUACAAAAUUGUUUUAACUCCAUUAUUUUAUUUGUAGAUCUUUAAUGAUUCAUCUUCAAUGGAAGCUCCAAACAUUGAAGACAUUAGAACCAAGUGAGCUUCUUUUAUUUUAAGUGUUAGUAAAUUGUAGAAACUUCACUACUAUUUAGUAGUGUAUGUAGGUUAAUGUGAUAUAUGGAUUUAAUAUAUAAUUUGACUUAGAAAUUAUGUAUUAAAUUUACUAGACAAUUUAAAGUUUGAAAUGAAUUUCAUUUUGUUAGUUUAAUUGAAUGUGUUCCUUUCAGGCUAUGUUGAUUAUAAAUUGAUGGAUGAGAUAAUAAUACAAGAAAUUUAUUGGAUGUCAAAUGUAAUUACAAUUUUUUUAAAAAAAAAAAAAAAUACGAUGUACAUGAAAGUGUAUGUAAUAAUAGGUUAAUUCUGAAAAACAUAUAUUAUGACAAGUAGACAAUUACUUUUCAUAAUACAUUCGAGAUAUUAUGAAAGAAAAAUCCAGUUACGUCAUAAUAAAUUCACCACAUUAUUAAUAAUAAGAUAAAAUAUAUCAUAAUACAUUGAGUAUUAUGACAGGUGAAAGAAAGUAUGUCAUAAUAUGUUGAACCUAUUAUGACGUACUUUUCUACCACGUCAUAAAAAGCAUAGACCUAUUAUGAUUACUAGAAUUAUGAUGUCAGGCCACCCAUCAUAAUAAGUCCUUUUUACCCGUAAUAAAAAGUGAUUUCUGCACUAGUGUAAAAAGUAGACUUUAAAGUAGAGCUGUCAAAACGGGUAACCCGGCUCGACCCGGUCCGGUCCACCACGGGUUGGUCACUUAGUGAGCCAACCCAACCCGGCUCAUUUAUUAGCGAGCCAGAAAAAUUUGAACCCGGCUCGACCCACCACGGGUUGGUGGGUAAACGGGUUAGCUCACUAGCCUAUUUAAUUACAGUUUUUUUAAAAUAAAAAAUUACAAACUUUCUAUAUUCAAAUUUAAACAAAUUUCACUCCUAAAAAAUGAUGUUAAACUGAAGACAAUUCAUAAUAAUAAUAAAAAGUACAAUAUAAUCCAAAUGUCAUCACUAGUGCAAAAGCGCUGUUUAACGUCACCCAGAAGACGUCGGUGUGCUAGUAAAACUAGCUUGGUAAACUAGACGUCGAUUUUAAGCUAAGGAGACGUCUAUCAUAUUGUAGACGUCCCCACUGCCGCAAACCGACGUCUAAUGGCCUAAGGUAGGUGAGAAGACAGUCUAGUGACGUAGGUGUUAACGGGCGCCGAUGUCUACUGGGCUGUAAUUAAUGCUCUUCACCUAAUUCCCAGGCGCUUAUACGUCAUGUAGUCAAAAGGCGACGUCUAAGGCCUGUCUGGAAGGCGGGAAGACAAAAAAUUCUUCAAUUUAGACGUCGGUAUUGAGGGGAAGCGACGUCUAUGUGCAUGUAAUUAAUUAUGUUCACCGAACUCGAGGGCCUUAGACGUCGGCUAAAAGGGCACCGACUUCUACGUUACUAUAGACGUCGGUGCCCCAUCACAACUGUCGUGAACAUCCUUGACAGGAAAUCAAACGUCAAUCGGUUCAGCUUCCUAGACGUCGGCUCCCCUCGAAACUGACGUCUAAUGGGUAUUCAAAAAGUCAUUUUAAAUGUUAACUUGAACGUCAUAUUAGUGAGAUAACCGACGUCUAGGUGACUAUAGACGUCGGUUUCUCGAGAGAAAUCGAAGCCGAAUUUCAUUUUAAAUAAACUGCAAACUCUUCGCGGCAUUCAGUUUCUGAUAUCGUCUUCCUCUUCUCCUUUUUCUCUUGCGACACCUCUUCUUUUUCUCGCUUGCGGCACCUCUUCUUUUUCUCUCUUGUGGCAUUCUAUUGUUGUUUCUGAUAUCUUUAUCGUCUUCCUCCUCUCCUUUUUCUCUCUUGCGGCAUUGCAUCCCAAGUGCGUGGUUUUUUUUUUUAUGCUUACCGUUUAAACUUUGUUUAGUCUUUCAUCGAUUAUCUUCUGGUUCAACUAAUUAAAAUUUGCUUUCUUUGUGUUGUGUUUUAGUGUAGUUUUGUUCCUUUCUUGGGGUAACGUAGUAGCACAUUCUCCAUUUGCUAGCUGCCUCCCAGAAAAAACGGCGUCUUGUGAAUUUCUUUUGGUCGUUUCAACCCAAAAACGACCCUGGGUCGUUGCCUAGUUAUCGUUUCACCCUGAUUUUUCCCUCUUGCGGAUGAAAAUGGAACUAAGCAACAACCCAGGUUCGGUUUUGAGUUGAAACGACUCAUAAGAAAUUGAAAAGACGAAAGCUUUUUUUUGGGGGAAACUAGCAAAAGGACAUUGUGCUUAAAUGAGAGACAUUGGUGAGAGAGUUGUGCUUAAAUGUUCAAUAUUUUGUUAGCUCUCUUGACUCAAGGAUUUUGCAUUCUAGAAAAACUAAUUUUUCUUAUUAGCCCAACCUCAUUACUAGCCUUGAAAAACUCCUUUUGAUGGCAUUUGCAUGUAAAGAUGUUGAUUGUUUGAGAUGAAUGGCAAUUUUGUUUCAUGUAACUUGUGAACAACAGAGAGUGGUGUGUCACCUUAAACACUUGAGUGAUUGAGUGAAACACUUGUUUGGUAUGAACUGUUGAUUUUCAUGAGUGCAUUUUUGCUUGGUGGAUUAGUCAUUCAUAAUGUAUAACAUCUGUUGUGCAAUCUCUGGAUUGAAAGCAUGCAUGCAUUUUAUUUUGGAUUUCACUGAGAAUAUUGAAUUGAGUAGUUUUGUCAUGUACCUUGGGAUUGUUGAAGCUUUGGAUGAAACAGUAUAAAGCAAAGUUUUGUUUUGUUUGUUGUUUUGUUUUGUUUUGUUUGAGGACAAGCAAAAUUCUAAGUUUGGGGUGUUGAUGAAGGUUGAAAAACAGUUAUUUUCAUAUGUCAAUUUGGACCGAAUUACGCCCUUUACUACUUGGAAUGAGCCUAGAAUCAAGCAAAACUCAAUAAAUGAGUCUGUAGAGAGUCAAAAGCUGUUUUUAGCGAUAUUAUGCUUGUUNNNNNNNNNNNNNNNNNNNNNNNNNNNNNNNNNNNNNNNNNNNNNNNNNNNNNNNNNNNNNNNNNNNNNNNNNNNNNNNNNNNNNNNNNNNNNNNNNNNNNNNNNNNNNNNNNNNNNNNNNNNNNNNNNNNNNNNNNNNNNNNNNNNNNNNNNNNNNNNNNNNNNNNNNNNNNNNNNNNNNNNNNNNNNNNNNNNNNNNNNNNNNNNNNNNNNNNNNNNNNNNNNNNNNNNNNNNNNNNNNNNNNNNNNNNNNNNNNNNNNNNNNNNNNNNNNNNNNNNNNNNNNNNNNNNNNNNNNNNNNNNNNNNNNNNNNNNNNNNNNNNNNNNNNNNNNNNNNNNNNNNNNNNNNNNNNNNNNNNNNNNNNNNNNNNNNNNNNNNNNNNNNNNNNNNNNNNNNNNNNNNNNNNNNNNNNNNNNNNNNNNNNNNNNNNNNNNNNNNNNNNNNNNNNNNNNNNNNNNNNNNNNNNNNNNNNNNNNNNNNNNNNNNNNNNNNNNNNNNNNNNNNNNNNNNNNNNNNNNNNNNNNNNNNNNNNNNNNNAUAUGUUUUGAUUGAUAAUUGUUGGGUUAUCAUCUGUGCUUAAGACCUUUAUCAUUUAACUCAUUUGGUAACUGAUGUUUGUCUUUAUUGAUAUGGGGACGUACAAUAAUGACAUGAACUAGUGAGUAAUUCCUUGAUUUUGCAAUACCACCUAGGGAUACGGGUAGUGUAACGUCCCGACAACUUAUAGGAACUGCUGACUACCCCCACAAAUCAACACGAGGCUUUCCAGUGUGCUUUGUCCUCACUCACACACUUUCCGAGAAAACUUCCCGGAAGGUCACCCAUCCCAUAAUUACUGUAGGCUAAGCACGCUUAACCAUGCAGUUCUUAUGAGUUAGGCUACCGAAAAGCAAAUGCAUUUGUUGAUAUGAGUAGUCAAAUAAUUCCUUUAAGCUAUCCUUCAACUGUAUAGUCCCAUACCUAUACAAUCUCCAAAUCCCUCUCAUUCCGGUGUAUGUUCGAUUCGUCCAUUGGCCCCUUCCACUCGAAGCCUGCCAGGAGCCGCUCCUUGUCUGUGCCCCCUGCACCAUGCUUCUUGCACCAGCGAUCACUCCCCGCCCUCGUCAGUGCCCGGGUGUCACAUGCCCACCAGCUUCCGUCUGGUUCGUCCUCGAACCACACCGUACUGGGAGAGGCUAGGCUCUGAUACCAUUUGUAACGCCCCGGCAACUUAGAGGGCCUGCUGACUGCCCCCACAGAUCAACACGAGGCUUUCCAGUGUGCUUUGUCCUUACUCACACACUUUCCGAGAAAACUUCCCGGAAGGUCACCCAUCCCAUAAUUAUUGUAGGCUAAGCACGCUUAACCAUGUAGUUCUUAUGAGUUAGGCUACCGAAAAACAAAUGCGUUUACUUUUCGGUAGCCUAACUCGUAAGAACUCCAUGCUUAAGCGUGCUUAGCCUAGAGUAAUUAUGGGAUGGGUGACCUUCUGGGAAGUUGUCUCGGAAAGUGUGUGAGUGAGGACAAAGCACACUAGAAAGCCUCGUGUUGAUGUGUGGGGGCAGUCAACAGUCCCUGUAAGUUGCCGGGGCGUUACAGGUAGGACGAUCAAUUGCUUUUAACUUCUAUUUAUAAGGCUGUAUUAAUUGCUAGGGGAGGCUAGGGAUAGCAAGCCAGUAGUUAAUAUUAGGCUUUUUUCGCCGAGGGAUCGGGUUAAGGGUAGACUAAGAAAGUUGCAUAACAAUUAAUUAAUCAAACUAAUAUUCAAGAGGAGUAGGUAAGAGAGAGCAGAUUAGAUGAAAUUGUAAACCCCCAACAACAUCCAUUCAUCCAUUGUUUUCUUUUGUCAAUUGAAUCAACUUUAUUUUGCAUGUUAAUAUUUUUGUUCUCAAAUCCAAUUUAUUAAUUUUUAUUUUCAAGUCUUAUUAUUUUAAUUCACGUGAACGAGAAAGUCUUUCGAGUCUCUUGGGAAAACGAUACUUGGUCUUACCAUUUAUAUUACUUGUACGAUUUGGUACACUUGCCAAUUUGUUAACAACCCGCAUAAAAAAAAUUCAAUUUUUUCAAACCCAAUCCGGCUUGAAUCCGUGAUGAGCCGAAUUAACUCGCGGAUUGUGACCCAUUUUGUCAGCUCUACUUUAAAGAUAACUAAAACGUACAAAAUCCAUAUGUGAAAUAAAUUUUCUAUUCUAUAUGAGAUUUCCACUUAGGUUCUACAAGUACACAUAUAGAAUAUCUUUUACGACUAUUGAAGAAGGAUAUCUAAACAUCAAUUACUAUAGGAAAGAAAAAAAUGAGAAUAAACACCUCGCAAUAUGAGCAAAAUAAUUUGAGAAAAGAUUGGUACCGCUAGAUUAUCCCAACCUUGUAAGAACAAAUCCAAUUUAUUUUAGAAAAAUAUAAGUAAUGUUUCGAUGCCAGGAAACAAGAAGGUUGCGCAUACCUUCGCCAAAACAAAUCAAAUCUUGCCUGGUUACAAAUUUAAGAGUAUUUAAUCUAGUUUUUUUUCUUCUAAAUUUAGAGUAUACACAUCGUUCUUGAACGAGUGGUUAUCUUAUAUAAAAAUUAAAUCCAAUGUUAAAAUUGUUAAUACAAUUGUUUAAUUUAAUUUUAUUAUUUCCACUUUUUACUGACAAACUAAUUCUGAAAAUUUUCUAGCAGCUCCAUUUUCUAUUUUAGAAUAUAUAAUUGCAAAUAAAUUAUGGAAAAGAUGAGAAAGAAGAAAGGGUGAGGACAUGAGUUAAGGGUAUGAGGACCUACUCAUAUUUAUUGAUAAUUAAGAAGCCACGUACAUUCACAAGAAAGGGACAGAUUUCUUGGAAAAUUUCAAUUCAAUUUUCGUGUUGUUUACUUCAUUAUGUACCCAUGGGUUUUGGCACCCUUUUCUUCAGAAUUUACUUUAUUUAUGUAUACUUUCAUAUAUAACUAUUUUGUUGGAAAAUAAAAAUCAAAUAAUAAUUGUAAAUUUCUUUAAUAAAAAUUUUAUAUCUUAUUUUAAAUUGUAAUUAUUUGGCGCAGUUUUUUUGGUUUUAAUCCUGGAUACAUCGAACAGUUUUAAUAGUCUUUGAAUGUUGAAAAGUCUUAAUAAAAUUUAUAACCGAUACAAAUAACAUAACUAAUUUUCUCUUCACUUCAAAUUUUUGACCUAAUUAAAUAGGUGAGGAAGGUGUCAAAGAAAGUUUGAAAAGGGACAGUGGAUGGAAACAUCAAUCGAGUGUAGACAUCAUGUCAUGGGAGGUGUGAAUAUGGAAAAAACUCAAGACUUUAUACUAAUAGACUAUGGGUAGCCUUGUAUUAUUAUUAAGCUAGUAAAAAUCAUAUGAGGAUAUUAACGUGAUGGUUGGUUAAUAUACUUUGUAAGUGAUUCAAUUAAUGAUACCUUUUAAUAGAUUAAUGGGAUAUAUUAUUAUUCUUAUACUAGUAGAAAAACAUUAUUUAACGUCGGUUAUUUUGGGCUUUUAACGUUAGAUCCCGAACCGACGUCUAAAGUGGGUGACGUUAAGGGGACGUCGGACCCUAUAGGUCAGACGUCUAUAUAGACGUCAGACUAUAUAGGUCAGACGUCUAUAUAGACGUCAGACUAUAUAGGUCAGACGUCUAAAAUGUUGUCGUAUUUGAUAGGAUUCUUCUCCGCUUGAGCCCUCUCAAGUUGCUCCUGUCUCAUGGUGAUUCGAGUUUACAACUUUAUAUUUUAGUUGAAGAGAAUGUAUUGUACGUUUUUUUUUGUAUUGGAUGGUUUUAAUAAUGUAGUGGAGGGGAUUUGAGGAGUGCAAAACGCAAGAAAUCGCCGCCCAAGAACGCUGCCCAAGGAUACGAGCAAAACUGCACAAAAACUCAACGAAAACGCAUUUUAAUCGGUUCAAAUGAAAGAUAAUUCAUCAAAGAGUAAUGUAAUCGGAGUAAAAUUAAUUUUAAACGGUGCAAAAAUGAGAAAACGAACCUGAAAAAAGGUAGCUCGUGGAGAGAAAACGCGAGCAAGAUGAUGAACAAUGAGUGCGCGUAACUGCUGCCUCGCGUUCACAGUGCUUUAAUUCAGACAUUUAGAAGUCAAACUUAACUUUAGAAGUCGGAGUGGCGGGAUUAGACGUCUAAAUGGAGUCAAAAAGUGACUUUUUAAAUUUUUGGGUUGAGUAUUUAGAAGUCGGUUCCUGCCAUAACAGAUGUCUACAGACGUCGGUCCCCCUAACAACAGACCUCUAAAGUGCUUUAGAAGUUAGAGUGGCGGGAUCAAACGUCUAAAUGGAGUCAAAAAUGGACUUUUUGAAUUUUCGGGCUGAGUAUUUAAAAGUCGGUUCCCACCAUCACAAACGUCUAUAGACGUCGGUUCCCUCCACAACAGACAUCUAAAGUGCUUUAGAAGUCGGAGUGGCGGGAUCAGACUUCUAAAUGGAGUCAGAAAGUGAAUUUUUAAAUUUUCGGGCUGAGUAUUUAGAAGUCGGUUCUCGCCAUAAUAGACAUUUAUAGACGUCGGUUCCUCCCACAACAGACGUCUAAAGUACUUUAGAGGUUGGAGUGGCGGGAUCAGACGUCUAAAUGGAGUCAAAAACUGACUUUUUAGAUUUUUGACUUGAGGAUUUAGAAGUCGGUUCCCCCACAACUGACGUCUAAAUGACUUUAGAAGUCGGGCCCCCUCAUAGUCGACGUCUAAAUAGUUGUUUUAUUUACGAAAAAUGCCACCGGUCAUUUUUUACGUCUGAUAUUUGAGGAUCAGACGUCUAAAGGGUGACGUUAAAGGCCUUUUUUGCACUAGUGUUAUACCGAAGUGUUUGGAGGUGGACUGAACUCUUUCUCAACAAGUAUUUGAGUUCUAAAACAUUUUGGAAAGGGAAAUACCACUUGUAAGGAUUUCAACAUUCAAAAGAGAUUUUUGAGUGAGUAUAUAAGUAAAGACUAAUUAUCAUAUGAUUAUACUUUAUAUGAUAACAUGUAUUUAUAUUAAAACAAGAUUAUCUAUAAGACUGAAGUGCGUUCUUAUAUGUUUUGAAGUUUAACAAACAAUAUUAAACGAAAUGAGCAUAUGAUAAUAUUAUCAGUAGAGUAACAAAAUAGCUGGAAUAUAUGUGAUGCAUGAAAAUACUCUAAGAAAUCCAAAUAACUUAGCAAAAGUCUUAGAAAAACACCUAGGUAUAAACAUGACGCACCACUAAACAAUUCCCAAGUUAAAGCGUCAAUGAGAGUCUUGUUAAAUGUAAAUGUUAUAAUGUACCAAACGAUAAUCAAUCAAUUCUCAAUAUGGUUAAGUAGGUAAAAGUGUCAAGACAAUGUUUUAGGAAAGCACACUGAAAGUCUAAAAUGACGUUCCAAAACCAUGAGGUAGAAAACACCAUGCUUAAAGCAUGUGUUAAAUAGCAGAGAGAAAAAUUCCAAAACGUUUCCAUAGUUUAGACGAUACCAUGUGCUAAAAGAUCCACUUCAUCCAACAACGAAGUUUUCAAUCAACUGCUUGAUAUCUUAGUGUGAAGCUUAAAUGAUAGAAUCCUACCCGAACGGUAGAAAACACAAAAUGCAUUUUGUUGUUCUGAAUAUCCAUUAAAUGUCAUUAAAUUUUAUACGUUUAAACACAACAAAAGUGCUAAGGACAAUUGUAUAUCUACUACAUGCAUAUCCACUCUACUUUGUGCAGAUUGCCUAUUACACGCAUCCACCUGCUCCAUCCUAAAUAAAUCAAAAGUAGACGUUAGAAACGAAGAAGACAUUCAAAGAAUGUUCUCUCCAUCAAAAGUCAUUCUAGAUAAAUAAUACUACCUACUUUUGUCAAAGUACUGAAAAAGUGAGUCUGCUCUGACAAGUUGACUUUAACCAACCGCUGCUUCAUAUGACAAGACUGAGAAGACUCAAGGAUCAAGGCAAAAUUUUUAUGUUGAUAGGGGGAACCAUGUAGUUGAACCCAUAUCUCACAUUGUAUUUUUGACGAUGACAACUUCUCAAAGAUUCUUGGAGAAUUGAUCAAGUUUUGUGAAUGAUUUUAUGUUGUCCAAUCAAUGUAUAUAAACAAGUAAUAGUAGAAGAAAGUCUCCUUAUAUUUUAAUUGUAUUUAUUGGUGAAAACUAGGAGACCGUUUUUAGAAGAAAAAAAAAAUUUUGUCCUCAGUUGAAUGUAACCAAAGGGGUAAUACUAAUUCAAGAUGUGGUUCAAAAAUGUUUAUUAAAGAGUUGGAAAUAAGGAAAGAGGAAGUUGAAAGAUUUAUACAAAAUAAUUUUGGAACAAAGAAAGAAAACUUAGUAAAAGGAGAAAAGUAGAAGGAUUGAAAAACUCCCAUGUCAUUGUUGGAUCCAUUGGAUCCAUUUGAAUGAUGAGAGGGGAAGGUGCCUUUAGUAGCACUUUGUCUAAAACUUGUGUAUGCCUCUGUCAAUCUAUAAGUCUCUAUCUCUUGGUCAUUCAAAUUGACUAAUAGAAGUGUUGCCCACCCAACAGGUUACAUAGAUGAUGUUUUAGUUCGGGUUAGUGAAUUGAUUUUCCAUGCAAAUUUUACGUUUUGGAAAGGAGGGAUUCUCCCAUGGAUCUGCUCCCAUCAUUUUAGGCAGGCCAUUUUAAAAACAGCCCGAACUAAAAUUGAUGUGUAUGCUUGAACUUUAUCUAUGGAAUUUGGUGAUAUUGUUGUGCAUUUUAAUAUUCUUGAUGCAAUGAUGUUUCCAAUUGAGGACCAUUUUGUCUUUAGGGUUGAUAUUUGGAUUAUGUUAUUGAGGAAUAUGCUACUGAAUUUUAUUCUUUGCAUGAUAAAGAGCAUUCUUUUCUAUCCUCUCUACAUGAAUGCAUUGAAUCUUAAUUUGAAUAAGAAUCUGUGAACGAUGUUGAUUUUUAUCUUAAUGAUAUAUGUUCUGUGAUGGAUAUUGAUGUUUAGUCUGAUGAGAUGGGUAUUAUGCAUUUGCAUGUAACUCUUUUGCAGGAACCAUAGAUAAAUCUGACUUGUAGGCAUCUACUCCUUUGCUUAAACUACUUCCACAAAACCCCAAGUAUGCAUACUUGGAGGAUGAUGAGAAGUUUUCAGUGAUCAUUUCCACCUCUCUUGAUGUUGUUCAGGAGGACAAGUUGUUGAGUGUUCUUAGGAAACUUAAGAAAGUUAUUGGUUGAACCUUGGUUGACAUUCUUGGAAUCAGCCCAUCCACUUGCAUGCAUAGGAUUCUAUUGGAGGAUGUAACCAGUUUGGCAGUCGUCGAGAAGGCAAAACCUAGUGAUUUUUUACGUUAUCAAGAAGGAGGUGACCAAGCUGCUCCAAGUUGGGAUCAUCUACCCUAUAUCAUAUAUUUAGUGGGUGAGUCUGGUCCAUGUUGUGUCAAAGAAGACUAGUCUCACUGUGGUGAAAAAUGAGAGGGAUGAGCUUAUUCCCACAAGAAUGUAAAACAACUGGAGAGUUUGCAUUGACUACAGGAGGCUUAAUCAAACAAGGAAGGAUCACUUCCCCCUACCCUUCAUUGAUCAAAUGCUUGGCAGGUAAGUCUCAAUACUAUUUUCUUGAUGGAUUUUUUUGGAUAAUUUCAAAUCCAUAUUGCACCUUAGGACCAAGAAGAGACUACAUUUACCUGUCCCUUUGACACUUUUUCCUAUAGGAAGAUGCCUUUUGGCCUAUACAAAGUACAUUCCAACUGUGCAUACUGAACAUUUUCAGUGAUUUUCUAGAGAGUUGCAUAGAGGUGUUUAUGAAUGAUUUCACUAUGUAUGGGUCCUCAUUUGAUACAUGUUUAGACAGUUUGGAUAAAGUUUUGCAAAGAUGCAUUGAAACCAACCUUGUUCUCAAUUUUGAGAAAUGUCACUUCAUGGUAGAACAAGGUUUAGUUUCAGGACAUAUCAUUUCUAGCAAAGGUAUAGAAGUAGAUCUUGCUAAAAUAUAUGUUACUGCACAAUUACUUCAUCCCUCUUACGUGCGAAAGAUGCUAUCUUUUCUUGGACAUGCAGAUUUCUACCGACACUAUAUGAGAGAUUUCGGUAAGAAAGUCAUUUCCUUCUCCAAACUACUACAUAAAGAUGUCGAGUUUUACUUUGAUGAUACAUGUAAGCAAUAUAUAUAUAUAUAUAUAUAUAUAUAUAUAUAUAUAUAACAAAUUUAAAAAAAAAAAUAAAAAGAAAAAUUUCACCGACUAGAUCCCGCUAGUUCACCUUUUAACAGUAGGAUUGUUAGUCCGUUCUCCUACGAGGGACCAUCCUACCCCAUCGCAUUUUUAAGGGACCAUGAUACAUUUUUGUCACUCCUAUUAAAUAGUAAAACCAACAAAUCUGAAGUAAAUAUACUUGGAAGUAGAUAACACAAUUGAAGACUGUAGAAGAAUCAACGCGCAAAGUUUUAGUGUUGAACGUUUCCUGAUUCCUGUGAUUAAUGCUUGUUGCCAGCAUGCUUACUUUGAUGAGACGAACAUGAUUGAUAUGAUAUUUAGAGGGGCAACGCAACAUGUGCUAUAUAGAUAAGUGCUAGGAGUCAGCACUAACACCACCCCCAUCGAGUUCUCAUUUUCCAAGCCAUGUCCUCACAACUUUCAAUUUUUCUUCUGUGGUUGCUAUGUGCAAUCAUGUUCCACAGAGGUGCCUGUGGAACCAAUUUUCAUCUUGUUUGCAACGAAAAGGAUCGAUCCGCAUUGCAGAUAUUCAAACUUGGUGUUGUGAAUCAUUCCAACAAGCUCCCUUCCUGGUCCUCUCAACAUGAUUGCUGCUCGUGGAAGGGAGUCCACUGUGACAACAACACAGGAAGAGUUACAAGGCUUGAUCUAAAGCAACAAUACUUGGAAGGUGAAAUCAACUUGUCUUUGCUUCAAAUUCAAUUUUUGAGCUACUUGGACUUGAGUUUGAAUGGCUUUACUAGUUUAAGUGCACCAUUUGAUGCUCAUGCUAGCUUCUCUAAUGUCCAGUUUCUUGACUUAUCCUUUAAUGAUGAUCUUCAUGUUGAUAAUCUCCACUGGCUUAAUCAACUUUCUUCCUUGAAAUAUCUCAACCUUAGUGAAAUCAAUCUUCAAAAUGAGUCCAACUGGCUUCAGUCAAUGCAAUUGCAUCCAUCACUGUUAGAGCUAAGAUUGGCAAGUUGUCAUCUUACCAAUAUCAGUCCAUCCAUCAAGUUUGUCAAUUUUUCCUCACUCUUAUCUCUUGACCUCUCUGGGAACCAUUUUGAUUCAGAAUUGCCUUACUGGCUUUUCAACCUCACCACCAUCUCCAAUAUCGACCUCAGCUUCAAUUUUCUAAAAGGUAGCCUACCAAAGAGCUUGUUGAGCCUUGGAAACCUUAAAUCUUUAAGGUUGCACGACAAUGAAAUUAAUGGAUCCAUCCCGGAGUGGUUAGGCCAACAUGAACAUUUGCAAUAUCUUGGUUUGUCUGAGAACAUGUUUGUUGGUUCAAUCCCUUCAUCAAUCGGAAAUCUCUCAUCCUUGGUUGACUUGAGCAUAAGCUCCAGUUCAUUGAGUGGUAAUCUUCCAACCAGCCUUGGACAGCUCUUUAAUUUGAAAAGCUUGUUCAUAGGUGGUGAAUCCUUGUCAGGUGUUCUUCAUGAAAACCAUUUUUCCAAUCUCUCUAAUUUAGAAGCACUGGUGUUGAAUGCUCCCUUUUCAUUCGACUUGACUUCUGACUGGAUUCCCCCUUUCCAGUUGGAGGGCAUUAGUUUGAGCAAUGCAAAGUUAGGUCCUAAAUUUCCAGAAUGGCUUUACACACAACACUCGCUAGUAUAUCUAGAGGUUCCUAAUUCAAGUAUCUCAUCCAUAAAUGGUGACCAGUUUUGGAGGUUUGUGGCUAAUAUUACACAGCUCAACCUCUCCAAGAACAACAUCUCUGCAGACUUAACAAACAUCACACUCAACUCACAGCUCAUAUUUAUGGAUCAUAAUAAUUUCACUGGAGGGCUCCCACAUAUAUCAGCAAAUGUUAUCUAUUUGGACUUGUCCCGCAAUUCUUUCUAUGGACCCAUUGCCCCUUUGUUCUGUCACAAGUUGGGCAGUCAAAACAAUUUGGACUAUUUGGACAUAUCAUUCAACCUUUUAACUGGAGGAGUUCCUGAUUGUUGGGAGUAUUGGAAAGGUUUGUCUUUCCUUUUCAUGGAGAGUAACAUGCUAACAGGUGAACUCCCUCCAUCAAUAGCUACAUUCAUUGAUCUCAUAGCACUGGAUUUGCACAAUAACAGCUUGUCUGGCCAUUUUUCAUUGGACCUAUCAAACAUAACAAAUUUGGAAUUCAUCAAUAUCAAACAGAACAAUUUUUCUGGGACUGUACCCACAAAGAUGCCACGUGCUAUGGAAGUGAUGCUACUGGGAUCUAACCAAUUUGAAGGAAACAUUCCAACCCAGCUAUGCAAUCUCUCUUCACUGAUUCAGUUGGAUCUUUUCCACAACAAUCUCUCAGGACCUAUUCCUCCAUGCAUCAGUGACAUUCCUAGCAUGGGUGGAGCACAAAGAACAAAUCAUUACCCGUUUGAGUUCAAUUUGUACAACAAAAGCCAGGAGCUACAGUAUGAGGACUAUGGAUUACUUAGAACACUUGACCUUUCAUCUAACAACUUGUCAGGGGAAAUCCCGUCACAAGUUUUCAGUCUUGUUCAGUUACAGUCCUUAAACUUGUCCAGAAAUCAUUUCACAGGAAAGAUAUCAAGGGAGAUUGGAAGCAUGAAGAACUUGGAAUCUCUUGAUCUAUCUAGCAACGAACUUUAUGGAGAAAUUCCUGGUUCCAUUUCCUCUAUAUCUUUCUUGAGCUUCUUGAAUAUGUCAUACAAUGAUUUCACUGGACAAAUCCCAGUUGGGACUCAGCUUCAGAGCUUGAAUGCUUCUAGCUUUGCUGGGAACCCAAGGCUUUGUGGAGCUCCUCUACCAAUUAACUGCACACAAGGAAGUGGUAAUGUUGAAGUGUCAAAGCAAUAUGCAGGAAGCAAUGAUGAUGCCUUUGACACCGAGUCACUCUACCUUGGGACAGGAGUUGGUUUUGCAGUGGGAUUUUGGGGGCUUUGGGGUUCUCUAUUCCUUAACAGGACAUGGAGACGUGUGUAUAUUCGGUUCCUUAAUUAUGGCGCACACAAACUUCAUGUCUUUGUGACUGUUAAGUUAAAAGCUUUAGUGGCACAUCACUAAGUUCCAUCUGAGGUAAAUGAAAGUUGAUAACACUGUCAAGAUGUCUAUACUUUAUUGCCUCUUUUGUUUUGUGACCCAUGAACAUCAAUUUGAAUAUAUGCAAUUGUUCUAUGCACCAUAUUCACCUUAUUUUUCACCAUAUAUAUUUGUUUAUACUCUUCAGGUAUGGCUUUACAGAUAGAAAACGAAAUUUUAAUUCCUACUAAUUUCGCUGUUCUUUAGAUGACUUUGGCCAAAAGAUUAUGCUGCCUUAAUUUGCUUCUCACUUACCCGAAAACCAGAUAUUAGAUGCAUGUUUCUAUUGUUUGACUCUAAAGCUUUAUGGGGGCAAUUCAAAAUGGAAAAAAUUUGACUUCUUCAUUAGUAGCUUUCUCCGACUAAUUUAAAUACAAUCUGAGUGUAAAAUUACAGAUUUUCAGUUAACAAAGUUGCUUAAAUUAAAAUAAAACUUUAUUUAUAUUUUAAUAAAAAUAUCAAUAAAUAAAUAAAAAAUCAUUAUUUUACAAAUAUACACUUUAUUGAAAAAAAAAAAAAAAACCAUCAGAUUAUAAAAUUGUUUCAAACAUCUCACCACAUUAGCUACUCUUCUUAGUGUUGUGUAUAUUCCUAAACACCCGUAUAAUCAUACGCUUCUAUGAUAAAUCAUGAUUAUCGCAUAUGGAAACCACUACUACAAACAUGUGGUUGAGUUAAUAUCACAAAUAAAAACAUCAAUUUUCAAAAUAAACUCAUUUAAUGUUUACAACUUUAAGACAUUUAGAAACAUAUAUAACUUUUUAUAACAAACCACAAUAAGGCCUUGACUUAUAGAGUUCUCGGUCAAAAUACAUCCAUUCUCUAACCUUGACACUUAAGAGUCAAGUAUCACACACCAAAACAUUGAACUGCUAUCACUUUCAAUUACUAACUAAUUCAUUAAGUUUUGAUUAUAGGAGCAUCCAAGAAGUGGUCUUGAAUAAUCAAGGAUCAAUUUGGGUUUCUUACACAUCAAUACUCUUUCAAGAAAGUGGACUGAACUUUUUUUAUUUGAUCUGCACCAAGAGGAGUGUGACUAGAAGAUCAGGAUCAUCAUUGACAAUAUGCGUUUUUCUACCUGUGCAUGUUGGCCAAGGGUUUGAGAGUUGUGAGUGUUCUCAAGGAUUGUAAGAGAUUGAGGGUAUUCAUCUCUUAUUUUCUAUAUUUGAUUUUGAGUGUGGUGAGAACUAAAUUGAGAGGGGUAUCACUUUAUUUCUAUAAACUUAAUCAAAUUUGUAGUGGAAUCUCUUCAACUCAGGUUGUUGGAGGAGGAUUGGAUGUAGGCUUGGGAUUGGUCGAACCAAUAUAGAUUGUGUGUGCUGAUCUUUCUCUUUACUCUUUCUCUUUUAUCGUUGAUUCAUCACAUCUUGUUUUAUUGAUUUCAAGAAAACCAAAGAUUUUACAAAGCUUUUGAAAAGAUAAUUUGUUUAAGGUAAAAUCCAAUCCACCCCCCUUGCCUUGAGAUAUAAGGCGUUGCUUUUCUAACAAUUAUUAUUGUAACAACCCAAUUUUUUAGAUGUCAUGGGUUAUUAAAAACUGGUAAAAUUUAAAAUUUAUCAAAAGCGCAGAAACGUACUUUAACUUGUAAAACAAAAUAACAGAGGAAAUAUAUUAUUUCGAGUAAUAAAAUAACGAAGGAAAUACUCCAAUCAUAUUGUCUUAACUUGUAAAACAAAAUAACUUUAAUUGAAUCCUAAAGUUUUUCCCCAUGCUCUCUCGAGUCAAUCACACCUCUAGAACAUCUGUAACAUCAUCUGCUCAUGUAUAACGCAUUAUACGAUCGUCAUUCAUAAUUUCAUUCACAAACACAAACACAAACACAAAAACAUAUAGGGUAAGCUACCAGUAAGACAAACAUAACAACAAUAUUCAUAUGUAUUGAUUAUAUCCACCAUAAUCAAUCACACAACAAGAUACAAACCUUCUGAUCAUAUCAUCCAUAAUCAAACACCCCAUACACAUAAGUAAUUGCAACAUGAUUCUUAUUCCUCAAAACCUAACAAAUCAAAUAUAUCUGAAUACUCAAUCCUCUAUUCUUGAUAUACCACCUGAUACCGUUACUACCAACAUAGUAUUUCCCUGAUGCUCUAUCAUCACCAUACUCAUCAACAUGUGUAGCUCUAUCAUAAUUAACACCAUCAUGAGCCUCUUCAAAUACCAAAACACCAUAGUGAAAAAAACAGUCAUACUCUUGUACCCUACCUCACCAACUAUAAUCGCUUCUACAACCUAAUCUGUAGCCUCCCCUAUAAAUAUGUUCGAGUAGUUUUACAAUCCAACUAAAGAACAUGCCUUCCUGAUGUUGGACUAUUUCGACAAGUGUACCGAGUCACACAAGUAAUAUAAAAUGGUAAGACCAAGUAUCGUAUCCUAGAAGACUCUCGGCGCUAGGCAGUCGUGUGAUAACAAGAUUAAUUAAGACUUAAAUAAAAAGAGAUAAUUGGUUUUAAAUGCAAAAACAAAAAAUUAAAUAUGAAUGCAAUUGAUCAAUAGCAAAAGAGCACAGAGAUGAACGGAUGUUGAUUAAUACGAGAUGGGUAUGUUGUUGGGGUUAUGCGUUAAUACCAAUGUCGCUCACUAAAUCACCUAAAUCCGAUCCCUCGACAAAUAAGUUUGUCCCAAAUUACCAAUUCAUGCAAUUCCUAGCAUUCUUAGUAAUAAAACAUAAAGAUCAAGAGCUUAAAGACAACCAAGACUCAUACCCUCAUCCCUGACCAAUAUUACUCUUAAAAGUAAUUCAACAAGAACCUGAAUUGUAAGGAACUUCCCGACACUCAUGCAAUUCAUAAAUCAUGUUAAUGAAUGAGUUAAACACAAUAAGCAUUGAAAGAAAUGAAUUACUCUAAGAUUUAAUGAAAAAGCAUAUGGAAAUAAGAAUCAAAUUAAAUACAUGAGAGUUUACAAGGUUACAUCAUCCCCCAACAACAAAUAGAAAUUAGUUCCCCAAAGACAUGGGGGAACUCUAUGAAAAAUAGAAGAGAAUGAGAAAGAAAGCCUGAGAAUUGGGAAAAAAGUUUCAUGCUAUGCUCUUCUCUGCCAGAGAUUCAAAGCCUAGAGCCUCAGGUUCUGGUCCAAUAGAGUGAAUAUAGAGCUGAAACAAGCACUGAUCCACGAAAAGCUGACACUCAGGCUCCCCACUUAGGGCGCCCGGGCGGUGAGUUUGAUGCCCAAGCUUGGAGACCCCGCCGCCCAGGCGGCCAGGAGGGGUGCCCGGGCGAUGGACGUCGAUUUUCCUCGCUCAAGCUUCCCUUCAGGGCGCUCGAGUUUCGUGUUGUCCCUCCUUAUGGUGCUUUUUCAUGCCCUUUUGAGCUUCAUCUUCUUGGCUCUUCAUCUUUGCUUCCGGUAUUACCUCAAUAUCUGUCAAAACAAGGGGAAUUAGUCAUAAAAUCAUUGAAAUCAACCUCAACUCUCUUAUUCACAUAACUUAAUGAAAAAGUAUGAGUCCAAGCAAGGUUCUAAGCGAAAAAGGGUGUUUUUAUUAUGAAAAUCACAUCACAAAUAACGGUGUUUUAAACCGUUAUCACAACCCCAAACUUAGAACUUUGUUUGUGCUCAAGCAAAACAGAAUGUAACUCAGCUUUUUUGAACAAUCACUACAAUAACUCAACAUUUUUCAAAAACUUUUCUUUCCAAGACAAGAAAUCCCUUUUAUUAAUUCAGCAUAAAGAUCUCAAUCAAGAUGUGUAGAUGCCUUAAUUCAAUCAAAAUCCAUGUGAUGCUCAUACACUUUCAACAGAUGUUAUCCUUAAGAAUGAUCAAUCAACCAAGCAAAGAUGUAAUAAAAAAUUCAAAGAACUAAUCCUCACCAAGGAAUGUGUUUCACUCAAGCACUCAAAAGUAUAUCACUCAAGCACUCAAACGUGUUUCACUUAGCUCAAAGGUGUAUAGUGAGGUGUUGGUGUAUUUCACUCCGCUAUCACAAUGUAACACAAAUUAAUUUUGCCCUUCAUUUAACCACAACCAAACAUACUCACUAGCAAGUUAUCUUCACAAGGGCUUUUCAUGGCUUGUAGCUUGGCUGGGCUAAGAAGGAAAUUGAUUUUUCUAGUUAGCAAACUUCCUUGAGUUAAGAGAGACAUUUAUGAAUUUAUCAUUUAAGCACAAACUCUCUUUCUUUUUCCCAGUUUUCCCUUGCAGUGAGCUUUUCCUUUUCUUUUUAUUUUUCUUUUCUUUUCUUUUGCCUUUCUCUUGCUUUUGUUUUUCAAUUGCUCACUGCCCAAAGAAGUGGGUUGCUACGUAGCAACCCCAAACUUGAACCUUUAUCAAUACCUCAUCAAAUGUUCUCAACUUAAUUCAAUGUAAAGAUUUUCAAGAAGGUUUUUCAAAGCAUGCAUAAGGUUCAAGGUUCAAAGGUUAGAACAAAUUGUUCUCUUUUUAGUAGGCAAAAAUCAUGUGAAGGUUAAAAGAAUAAGGGAUAACAAAAGAUGGCCUUGAUCAUAUGAAACCUGCAAGCAAGUAGUUCAAUCACAGAAAAUAUGGGCAAAAUCAUUUACGCUUCCAAAGUAAUAGCAAUUAUUGACAAGAAAACUCUAAAGCCCAAUUCUGACAUAGGUAAACUCUCAAGUCCCAGAAUUCAGAAAAAACACUCUGCUCAGUAUCUCAAUCAAAUUUUAUCUCAAGCACCUAUUUCACACAUUGUGAGUCAUCACCUAUAUCACAUCAUGCAUCAUCUCAACAUCAAUCAAACACCAGAAUCUCAUAAAGCAAUACUCAUCACAAACAAGCACAGUUGAAUCAAAGCAGUUCAAUUCAUUCAAGCAGAGCACAAUAAAAAUAAAAUAAAAUAAAACAAAAGUUAAAUUUAAAAGGAAAAUGGUAGAAAACUAGGUUUCCUCCCAGCAAACACUUCUUUAACGCCACUAGCUUGACCCAAUUUUCAUUAUCACAACAUUCAUCAGUAGAUGUUGUUAGUAACAUCCAUCAGUAGAUGUCUAAUCCCAUAGCAUCCAUCAGUAGAUGCUAAUAUUUCUUAUCUUCAUUAGUAUCCAUCAAUAGACACCAAUCUUUCUCAUCUUCAUUGGCAUUCAUCAGUAGAUGCCUAAUCACCUAGCACCCAUCAGUAGAUGUCUAGUCGCCAUCCUCUUUCAUAGCAGCAUCCAUUAGUAGAUGUUGUCAUUCAUCAUCCUCAUCAUAGCAACAUCCAUCAGUAGAUUUUGUGGAAGCAUCCAUCAGUAGAUAUUGUCAUUACUGCCAUCAGAAGCAACAUAUAACCUAAAACAAACUCAAAUCCAAAUCACAUAAAUAAUAAAUUAAAAAGAAAAAAAUAAAAAUAAAAUAAAACAAGAUAAAAAUUUCAGGAACUGGGUUGCCUCCCACAAGCACUUCUUUAACGUCACUAGCUUGACCCAUAAGCUUAAUCAAUAGCAUCCUUAAGUAGACGCUUGAUCACAUGUAGCUACCUGGUGCCUCAAUUUUUUUCUUUUUGUUGAAUUUCUUCAAAAAUUUAAUAUAACCAGGAACUUGCUGCAGUGUCCCAAUCACAGGAAUUUUAAUCUCCAAUUUCUUGAAGACUCUCAUGAAACGUUCAAACUGUUUUUCCUUCUUCUUAUGAUUUUUCUUUGGGUGAGGCAGAGGAUUUUCAUAUACUUCUUCCUUUUUUCUCUCAUCCUCAUUUCCUCCCUUUUUCAUCUUCCUUCUCUUUUUCUUCCUUAGAACAUUUCUUAGGGUAAGAGGAAUUUUUUCAACUUUUUCCUUUUCUCUCUCAACCUCUUCUUCUUCUUUUCUUUCUUCUUCCACAUUCUUCUCUUCUUCUUUUCUCUCAACCUCACUUUUUAUCUCUUCUUUUCUCUCACUCUCUUCUUUUCCUCUCUCUACUUCAUCUUUUUGUUUUUCACUCAACCUUUCUUUUUCUUCUCUCUCAUCUUCUUCCUUUUCUACCUCUUUCUCUUUUUCACUCAAACAUUCUUCUUCUUCUCUCUCUAUUUUUCUCUCAUUCUCUCUCUUUUCUUCUUUUUCUUUUUAGCUUAGCCUUUCUUCUUCUUUUCGCUCUACUUUCUCUCAUCUAAAACCUCGCCAAUUUUGGUGACAACAUCCUUGCAUUCCGCUCUAGGGUUCAUGUUGUCCUUAUGAUAAUCCAGCUUCUGAAUUAUGAGCUCACAUUGCACCUCCAUCCUUUGAGAUGCUGCUUGAGUGCUUUCUCGAAUUGAGAGAGAUUCCUGUAUGAACCACUAGAGGGUCUCCUCAAGCUUUGUAGUACUAUUAGCUUGUGUGGUCUAUUGAGUAGUCCAUCAACUUCCCCAAAUUGACUUUGGUUCAUGCUUGAGUGAGGUUCCCACAACUGGUUGAAAUUACCUUGGUAGACUUGAGUGCCCAAAUAGUAAAAUUCUUGUUCGAAUUGCAUCAUGCAAGCAUUAGAUACAAAACCCUAGAAAACACUAUUAGUACAAAAACAAAACAAAACACCAAAAAAUAAAAAAAUAAAAAUAAAAAUAUGAAAAAUAAAUAUAAAAUAAAGUCAAAGUUAAUCAAGAAUUACACAAAUAAAAUAGCUUAAACCGUGAGUCCCCAACAACGAUGCCAAACACUUGUUGGAUUAUUUCGGCAAGUGUACCGAGUCGCACAAGUAAUAUAAAAUGGUAAGACCAAGUAUCGUACCCAGAAGACUCUCGACGCAAGGCAAUCGUGUGAUAAAAAGAUUAAUUAAGACUUAAAUAAAAAGAGAUCAUUGGUUUUGAAUGCAAAAACAAAAAAUUAAAUAUGAAUGCAAUUGAUCAAUUGCAAAGGAGCAUAAAAUGAAUGAGUGUUGAUUAAUAUGAGAUGGGUUUGCUGUUGGGGUUAGAUUUCACCAAAUUCCCUCUCAUGUAUGUAAGACGUUUAAGGGCGCCUCGACGGUGGACGUCGAUUUUCGUUGCUCAAGCUUCUCUUCAGGGCGCUUGGGCUUCGUGUUGUCCCUCCUACUGGUGCUUUGUCAUGCCCUUUUGAGCUUUAUCUUCUUGGCUCUUCAUCUAUGCUUCCAAUAUUACCUUAAUCUUUGUCAAAACAAGGGGAAUUAGUCAUAAAAUCAUUGAAAUCAACCUCAACUCUCUUAUUCACACAACUUAAUGAAAAAGUAUGAGUCCAAGCAAGUUUCUAAGUGAAAAAGCAUGCUUUUAUUAUCAAAAGCAAAUCACAAAUAACGGUGUUUUAAACUGUUAUCACCUACCACCCAAGGAUAAGGAAACCACCAUCACCCUCUAAUUCAUGUUAGAUUAGGGGUAAGAGAAACAUUUAAUUUGUUGUUAAUCAAGGAUAGGAAACAUUGCAAUUGAACUAGUGACCAACUGUUUUUAAUUAGUGCUUUAAUUUGUGUUUUAGUUAGUUAAUUUGGUUCGCACAAUUUGUUCGAAAAAAAACCCCCCACUAUGUGUUCAAUCCUAUGACAAAACCAAAAAUUGAUCCUUGAGAGACGACUUAGGAGUCAUUCCCUAGUUAUUUCAUUUAAUCUACAACAUCAAUUUAAGUUGAGUGCGACAUUAGACGAUCAAAUUUGGCGUCGUUGUUGAGGACCAACGGUUCUGUCAUAGGUCUCUGUGUUAGUGGGUGUUGUGUUCUGUUUAAUGUGUCAUGAAUAGUGCCAUGAAUAAUGUUUAAUUUUCCAAAUUAAUUGACAUUUUUCAUUUUGAUAGCUAGAGGUGUUAUUUUUCUUUGGGAUUUUUGGUGUGCACUUUUUUGGUCCAUAUUGUUGAGAUUGUUGACAGGGGGUGCACAGGUUUAGCUUAACCUACAAUCUUAGUGAUAACUAUGUUUUUUAUGAUGACAACACAUAAUUAAUAACACAUGUGUAUUCUGUGUUUACAUGUUCUGUGCUUACAUGUUAUAUGUUUUUGCUUAAAUGUGUUAUAUCUGUAUAAGCAUAUUUUUGAACAUGAUUGUGUUGUUUAAUGCAAACCACUGUGUUUAACAUGUGAUUUUAUCUGGGGAUGCAUAACAUAUGUUUUCGAAAAUGAAAAACCACAAGCACUUUGGUUGAACUUUAAUGUGUGGCAAAACAACAGUUUUAAGUCGAUUACAUUAUGCGAUGAAUCGAUUAAAACUCGUGUAUUUGCACAAACUCUUUUCAAAUGUGCUAUGAGAUAUUUUGAAGAGAAAAUUUUUCAAAAAUAUUCUAAGUGUUGUUACAUAAUCAACUGCAUGCGAUUUGUAUUCGACUAAGUUGAUUGUUAUUUUGAAAACUAGUUAAAUGCUUGACAUAACUGUCUUAACGGUCAUAUUUUUAAAUAUGUUGUGAUUGAUGUUAGUCUAUUAUAACUGCAAGAUGUAUUCGACUACAUUAGUAGCUAAAUCGAUUAAAAUGUGUCUGAUGUGUGUAUUACUAUAAAUUGAUGCUUAUUUGAUUUGUGUAAGAACUUUUGUGAAUUGGCAUUUUCACAUCUUUCGGAUAAUGCUGUGUGAUUUUAUAGGGAAAAGAAAAGCUCCAAGAACAAGAGAUUGACCGUGGUGAUCAAGGAAUCAAAGGUUUCCUUAGAAGCAAGGUUUGUUGUGUAUUAAUCGUCUGAUUAUUCUGCAUGAAGAGUUGUAUUCUGCACGACCAGAAAUUUGCAAUCUUUGAAGAUUGGCUUGGAUUCCCUGCGGUGUUUGUAGGAAGAAAAAUUGUGUUCUUGACUUUGAGGGUGGCUCAAAGGGUUUGACAGUAGAAGAAGGUGUUCUUGCUUCUUGUCUGUAUUGUUUACUGCCUAUAUUAGAGUAGAGGGUUAGAGAGGUGUUUUACAUUUUGACGUGAGGUUGCUGUAGAAACAUU
RNAcentral lists this long non-coding RNA (71176 nucleotides) under Vigna radiata. RNAcentral's name for it is "long non-coding RNA (VRAD_LNC018103)". The record is from RNAcentral. Lineage: Eukaryota; Viridiplantae; Streptophyta; Magnoliopsida; Fabales; Fabaceae.